RNAcentral lists this long non-coding RNA (72600 nucleotides) under Vitis vinifera (wine grape). RNAcentral's name for it is "long non-coding RNA (VVIN_LNC001523)". Lineage: Eukaryota; Viridiplantae; Streptophyta; Magnoliopsida; Vitales; Vitaceae. The record is from RNAcentral.
AUCUUGUAAGAUGAGAUUUGUGUGUAUGGAUAGGAAUAAGGGGGGCUAGGCAUCAUAAGUCUUUCAUUUCUUAAUCAUGCUCUUCUUGAAAAGUGGAGUUGGAGAUUCACUUCAAAAGGGGAAGCUUUUUUGGAAACAAGUUGUAGAAGGGUAAGUAUGGGGAGGAAAGAGGGUUUUUUUUUUUUUUUUGAUAGGUAGGGAGGAAAGAGGGAGUUAGAAGUCUUGCAACGUGAGAAAUGGGCAUGGGGUCAAAAUGUGGAAAGCUAUCAAGAAGGGUGGGACCUCCUUGAUAGUAGGGUUGCUUUUGAAGUGGGUGAUGGUAGAAGGGUGAAGUUUUGAGAGGACACAUGGUGCAGGGUGGAACCCUCAAAAGUGUCAAACCCCUUCACUUUGGGCAUUAUUUGGAAUUCUUGGCUCUUGACUAAAGGGAGCUUUUUUUUCUUGGGAAGCAAGUUGGAGAAAAGUUGUGACAUUAGAUUAGCUUCAAAGACGACGAUGACCGCUAGCAAACAAACGCUAUCUGUGUAAAAUCAAACGAGAAUCAACUUAUCACAUUCUUUUUCAUUGCACCAUGUCAAGGGUUCUAUGACAAAUGUUGUUCUCCCUACUUGGUGAAUUAUGGGUGCUUCCUUCUACUGUCAAACAAACUUUUUUAAGCCAGAAAGGCUCUUUUAUACAGAGAAAACAGAAGAAGUUUUGGUGAGUCACUCUAUACAUUUUUUAGACUUCAUGGAAGGAGAGAAACCAUGGAAAGUUUGGAAAUGAAGAUUAGUCUAAGAAUAAGUUGAAAUGGUUGUUCCUAAGUAAUCUAUUAUUAGCUUAGGUUAGGAUGCAUAUAGAAGAAGGUUCAAUGCCAUUGAUUGAUUUUGUUGAUGAGUUAGGAUCAUGGUGAGAGAGAGAGAGAGAGAGAGAGAGAGAGAGAGAGAGUUGGUUUCUGAUUCUCUUUUGUGGAUUUGUUGCUUUGUGCCAGUCGUAUAUGACCUGUGUAUUCUAGUGUACAUCUUUCCUUUUCGUAUAUAUACAUAUUUCAUUGCUUAUAAAUAAAUAAAUCCUAUAACACAGAAAAUACUCGGUUGACAAGUUCUGCUACAGUUUGAGAAACCCAAACCUUGGUUGACCAGUUUUCGGUUUAAUCAAGCUGUAUGAGCUGCAGUGCAGUGCAGGAUUUUUUUUUUUUUUUUUUCUAUCAGGCACAAUAAUUUUGAAGCUGCCACCAAGUUGGUUUUCUCUUGUAGCAGAAAGCAAGGGGCAUGUUGACACCAGUCGCACACUUAAAGAAAUUUUAGGUUCAAAAUUGGUGUUAAAGAAUUAGCAGCAAACUUCUAUAUCAUCUCAAGGGACACGAAUAUGGACAUGAACAGAAACAUGUCAAAGAGGUUUCCCAAUGGUAGCUUCCAUCCUAUAUGAGGCCAAACUUUUUAUCCUCUCCACAAUUGCAAUUCAACUUUCCUACUUUGUCUAUCCUAAGUCCUUUUCUGCUAGUAAUGAUUGCAUAAGAAGCUGAAUGGUGAUACAACCUUAUAUUUUGAGAUAGUGAACAUAAAUUAUAUAACUCAGUAAACCCUGAUUUACAAACUAAAGAAUACUUACUGUGUCUAUGCUCCAAAAUGCAGUCAGUGAUGGCAACUGUAUCAUUUUCGCUUGGCUCAACAUCUAUGCUUUCAUAUUCAGAAUGCUUAUCAGGAAGUUUGUUAGUUAAUUCAUCUUGACUGAUGGCUUGGAAAGUAUCAUAGAUGCUAUCCCACAUUCCACUUUUAAUAGAUGUCACCUGCAAUAUGUAACAAGCAACUUAUCAUUUGUGUUCACAAAUAACCACAUCACAAUCAACUAAAACAGCAACGGUCAGUUAAUACAAAAUAUAGAUAAAAAACAUCUGUGACAAUCAAUAAAGCAGAGAACCAAAUAAGCAUAAGCAAAGUUUAGUAAUUACACAAGCACUCUACUCUUUGGAAACACAAAAACUGAUUUUUGAAAGCCAUACUUCGCCAUACAAAAGAAGAAUAAACAGUGCCCUUCCAUAAAAGGAUAACGUUUCAUCAAGAUCCCAUUGUCAAGAGAAAAUGUGAGCUUGGAAUGCUGGGUAUAGGUAAUUAAACAAGAAUUAUUGACAAUACAAUAUCAUCAUUCUGAAUGCAGGUUCAGUGGUUAACAAACAAGAUUUGCAAGGAGUUCAUGUAGCCAUUUUCAUACUGUACAAUGUCUACGAAUAGCUAAGGGUAAUAUUUUAACAAUUACCAUUGUGGUAAAAGGUUGUAGCUAUGGUAAAAUAACAAAAUUGUCUGAUAACUUUAGGCUUUGGUACUAUCUAUUCACACAAGUAAGGAUUGAAUAGGUUCCACCAAGGAGUAUAUGUGAUAUGAUGUUCAUUUCAUAUAGGGGUUUGGGGACUCCAUUAGAGGAAAGACCAUUUGGCAAAUUGUUUGUCUCACUUUGCUUGGAUUGAGUGGCAAGAGAAUGCCAAAUUUUUUCAAGUAGAGAGGUUGUGGACUUUACUUCACUUCUAUUCCUCUUUUUGAGCCUCAUCCUCAUGCACCAAAGCUUUAAAGGCAUCCCUCUCAGUGUUAUUCAACUCAAUUGGCAUUCAAUGUGUAAAUCAAAAGGCUUUUGACAUUAUUGAGAGGAGCUUAGUCAGAAUUUCAGGAGAAAACAUCUUUGUAUAUUGUGUUGUAGUCUAAACCUUUUGUAUAGACUCCUUGUACAGCGGAGGAGUUCAAUCAUAUUUUGAUAAGAUUUUUUGUAAUUGUGGGGAGGACUUCUCAUCCUUCUUAUGUUUUCUUUAACAUUAAUACACACAUCUCUUGUUUAUAAUAAAAAAAUUGAUAAAAUAAAUAAAUAAAAACCACAGACCCGAAAGAAAAAUGGAAGGAAUAUUUAUGAAUGCAUGAACAGGGAUAGGCAACUGCUGGCCCAGUUGUUUUUCAAGCCCACGAGACUGUAGUGAUGUCGUCUUCAACACUCCAGCGAGUUGGAUCUUCUGCAAUGGCGGUCCCGCUAGUUGCACGCUCUCAAGGUCCAAUCGAAGUUAAGGCUGGCGACGAGGCUUUCUCUGGAGAGGAUGCUCGGGCCUUUGAGAUAAAGGCCCAGUCUCUUCCCAACCCUAGCCCACCUUCAGACUCAAUCGUGGGCUAUAUUUUUAAAGGCCCGUUGUGGUUGGGCCAAAGAAUAGGAGGAGCGAUGUCCUCUGUUAAGAAAGGUUGGUCUCGAAAGGAAGAAAAUGAUGCAAUGAGAAAGGGGAAAGCUUCUGAGGUUCAGACAAGAGGCUCUGCGGAGAAGGAAGAGAAGGUAGUUUCAAAGAAGAUGUGGACCACCCUCUUCCCUCCAAGUUUCGAUCGCCGACAAGGACUUCGGAGUUGCAGCGAGCCUCUUUACCUCGGGAAGUCAUCAUCGGUUAGCAAAGUUCGUCUAUUGGAAGAGGAUAUCAGGACGGGAUCUCAGAUGGAAUGAGGAUUCAGAGCGAGUCCUCUCUUUCAUUGUCAUUUCUCAAGGAAUCGAAAAUGAUGUUCGGGGGAAGGGACCCCGUUGUCAAGAGGCGAAGCGGCUUUGUGCAAUCCCCAUUUCGAAGAAGACAUAGAAGGUUUUUUAGGCCGAGUGGAGUCUGAUCUUCGUGGUUCAUCAGUCAUGGAUUCACCUUCUAGUCUAGAAAUCAAAGGUAAAAGACUCAUCUUUGAGGGGAUUUGUGAAAUACCGGGAGUGGAAAACUUGGAGGUAUGUCUGUCUUCACCUUCUCAGCCACCCGAGUCUUCUUCUAUCCCUUCUUGUGGUCUAGCACUUCCUUUGCCAAGUCCCUUUGGUUCAAAUCUUCCUAGUUCAGUCUCUCUUUCUUAGUCUCCUAUGGAAAAUCGAGUAAUUUCUUAAUUUUUUUCUAAAAAAGACGUUGUUGGCACUGUUUUCCAAAAUUAUGUUGGCAUUCCUGUCCGUGAUGAGGAGGAGAAACAGUUUGCUUUAUCAAACCAGAUGUCCGAGAGUUUUACCCCUAGUAAGUCUAAACCCAGCUUGCCUAAGGAGGUUUCCAACCUGGUUACAGGUAGCCAGGGUGAUACUGCGGUCUCCCCAUCGGGCGAGUUCCAUAUAGAUGGCCUGUCCCCCAGGAAAAUGGCUAAAGUGCGAGAGGUUUUAUGCUCUCUGGAUAUUAAGGUUUAUUCCAGGAGGAAGAACAGAUGCUCCACAAGUAGUUGAGACCUGUUGGCAUUGGUUUGGUGGUUUAGGGUCUAUGAGUUUCUCCAUGAAAAUUAUCAAUUGGAACACUAGGGGUUUGGGAUCAAGGAAUAAGCGAAGGGUGGUUAAAGAUUUUCUAAGGUCAGAGAAUUCGGAUGUUGUGAUGAUUCAGGAAACAAAAAAUGAGAAGUGUGACAGAAGGUUUGUGGGUAGUGUCUGGACGGUCAGAAAUAAGGAUUGGGCUGCUCUUCCGGCGUGCGGGGCUUUAGGUGGGAUUUUGAUCAUUUGGGACUCUAAAAAACUGCGUAGUGAGGAGGUGUUAAUAGGAUCCUUCUCGGUCUCAAUCAAGUUUGCUUUGGAUGGUUGCAGACCUCUUUGGAUAUCCACAGUUUAUGGCCCAAACAGCCCCUCACUUAGGAAGGAUUUUUGGGUGAAACUUUUAGACAUUUUUGGCCUAUCUUUUCCGUUAUGGUGUGUGGGCGGUGAUUUUAAUGUCAUAAGGAGAAGUUCAGAAAAAUUGGGGGGUUCUAGUCUAACUUCAAGCAUGAAGGACUUUGAUAGUUUUAUAAGAGAAUGUGAAUUGCUUGAUCCACCUUUACAGAACGCAUCAUUCACUUGGUCAAACUUGCAAGAGUCUUCCGUGUGUAAGAGAUUGGAUCGUUUUCUUUACUCAAAUGAGUGGGGGCAGCUCUUUCCCCAAGGCCUUCAAGAAGCCGUUCCUAGAAGGACAUCGGAUCAUUGGCCAAUUGUUUUGGAUACCAACCCGUUCAAAUGGGGCCCAACACUUUUUAGGUUUGAGAAUAUGUGGUUGCAACAUCCUAGUUUCAAGGAGAACUUUAGAAAUUGGUGGAGAGGUUUUCAAGGAAAUGGGUGGGAAGGUCACAAGUUCAUGAGGAGAUUACAAUUUGUUAAAGCCAAUUUGAAAGAGUGGAAUAAGGUUUCUUUUGGAGAGCUAAAGGAAAGGAAAAAAAGCAUCCUCAAUGAUUUAGCUAACUUUGAUGCCAUUGAGCAAGUAGGGGGUCUCACUUCUAAUCUUUUAGUUCAAAGAGCCUUAAGAAAAGGGGAGCUAGAGGAAUUAAUUUUAAGGGAAGAAAUUCAUUGGAGACAAAAAGCUAGGGUGAAAUGGGUUAAGGAAGGGGAUUAUAACUCAAAGUUUUUUCAUAAAGUGGCUAAUGACAGGCGAAAUAGGAAAUUUAUCAAAGUGUUGGAGAAUGAAAGGGGAUUAGUGUUGAAUAAUGCCGAGAGUAUCACAGAGGAGAUUUUACUUUACUUUGAAAAGCUCUACGCGAGUCCUACAGGAGAGUCUUGGAGUGUUGAAGGAUUAGAUUGGUCCCCUAUUUCGGAAGAGAGCGCGUCUAGGUUGGAUUCCCCUUUCACUGAAGAAGAGAUUUCUAAGGCCAUUUUUCAGUUGGAUAGGGAUAAGGCGCCGGGGCCUGAUGGCUUUACCAUUGCAGUAUUUCAAGAUUGUUGGGAUGUGAUCAAGGAGGAUUUAGUGAGAGUGUUUGCAGAGUUUCACAGGAGCGGAAUUAUCAAUCAAAGCACUAAUGUCUCCAUAAUUCUGUUACCCAAAAGGAAUUUGACAAAGAAAAUCUCAUAUUUUAGACCCAUUAGCUUGAUCACUAGCCUCUACAAGAUAAUAGUCAAAGUGCUUUUAGGGCGUCUAAGAGGGGUUCUACAUGAAACCAUUCACUCUACUCAAGGCGCUUUUGUUCAAGGGAGACAAAUUUUGGAUGUUGUUCCCAUAGCCAAUGAGAUAGUGGAUGAAAGAAGACGAUCAGGGGAGGAAGGUGUCGUCUUCAAAAUUGACUUCGAAAAGGCUUAUGAUCAUGUGAGUUGGGAUUUUUUGGAUCAUGUGUUGAAGAAGAAGGGGUUCAGUCCUAAAUGGAGGAAAUGGAUGAGUGGUUGUUUGUCCUCGGUUUCUUAUGCAGUCUUGGUGAAUGGAAACACUAAAGGGUGGGUUAAGGCAUCUAGAGGCUUAAGACAAGGAGACUCUUUAUCCCCUUUUUUGUUUACUUUAGUCGCAGAUGUACUGAGCAAGAUGCUAUUGAGAGCAGAGGAAAGAAAUUUGUAUGGAGGGUUUCAGGGUGGGUAGAAACAAAACUAGGGUGUCUCAUCUGCAAUUUGCAGAUGAUACCAUAUUCUUUUCUAACACUAAGGAGGAAGAACUAUAGUCGCUCAAGAGUCUUUUGCUAGUGUUUAGGCAUAUUUCUGGGCUCAAGGUCAACCUUGACAAGAGUAAUAUUUAUGGCAUCAAUCUUGAUCAAAAUUAUCUUUCUAGAUUGGCUAAGUUGCUUGAUUGCAAGGCUUCUGGUUGGCCUAUACUCUAUCUAGGCCUUCCUUUGGGAGGGAAUCCCAAGGCAUGUGGCUUUUGGGAUCCAGUGAUUGAGAGAAUCUCAAGAAGAUUAGAUGGGUGGCAAAAGACUUACUUAUCUUUUAGAGGAAGGAUAACUCUUAUCCAAUCUUGCCUCACCCACAUGCCCUGUUACAUCCUCUCCUUGUUUAAGAUACCCGCUUUAAUGGCUGCAAAAAUUGAGAGGUUGCAAAGGGAUUUUUUAUGGUCAGGGAUUGGAGAAGACAAAAGAGAUCAUUUAAUUAGUUGGGAUGUAGUGUGUAAACCGAAGGCAAAAGGCGGAUUGGGUUUUGGGAAGAUAUCUCUAAGGAAUCUCGCUCUUUUAGGGAAAUGGUUGUGGAGGUACCUUAGAGAGGGUUCAGUUCUAUGGCAUCUGGUCAUCUUAAGCAUUUAUGGAUCACACUCUAAUGGUUGGGAUGCUAACACUUUAGUCAAAUGGUCACAUCAUUGUCCUUGGAAGGCUAUUGCACAAGUCUUUUAGGAGUUUUCCAUGUUUACUCGGUUUGUGGUAGGAAAUGAGGAAAUAAUUCGUUUCUGGGAAGAUUUAUGGUGGAGGGACCAACCUUUGGGAUCCCAAUAUCCAAGACUAUUUAGAGUAGUCUUGGAUAAAAAUGUUCCUAUUUCAUCAAUUCUCGGUUCUACUCGUCCUUUCUCUUGGAACUUUAAUUUCCUCCGUAACCUUUCAGAUUCUGAGAUAGAAGACUUAAAAGGCCUCAUGCGGUCACUUGAUGGUUUGCAUCUAUCACCUCCGGUUUCAGAUGCCCGAUCUUGGCCUUUAUCUCCUUCAAGGCUUUUUUCAGUCAAAUCUUUCUUUCUAGCCUUAUCCCAAUUUUCUGGUUCUCUUCAGGUUUUUCCUUCUAAGUUCGUUUGGAAAUCUCAAGUCCCUUUCAAAGUGAAGUCCUUUGUCUGGUUAGUGGCACACAAGAAGGUAAAUACUAAUGACAUGCUACAAUUGAGAAGACUCUACAAAGCUCUUAGUCCUGAUAUUUGUAUUAUGUGCAUGAAGCAUGGGGAAUCAACAGAUCAUCUUUUCCUACAUUGCUCUCUGACGAUGGGGUUGUGGCAGAGAUUAUUUCAGUUAACCAAGAUGGAUUGGGUUCCCUCGAUGAGCAUCUUUGACAUGAUGUCCAUCAAAUUUAAUGGUUUUGGUUCAUCUAAGAGGGGGAUAGUUUUGUGGCAAGUUGCGAGUGUCGCUUUAAUUCGGGUUUUUGAAGAUAAAACAAGGAAUUCAGAGUAUCUUUGGGAUUUUAUUUUUUUCCUUGCUUCUCUUUGGCCUUUCUGUUCCAAGGUUGUUAAAGGAACUCCCCUUAAUGUAUUACAACUUGACUGGUUAGCGGUGUGUAAUCCCAUUGGUCUAACCUAGAGUGUUCGCUUGUUUUACUGCGCACUUUCUUGUGUUUGUAUUCUUGUAAUUUAGUUUUCUUUGGUGGGAGGAUUUCUCAUCCUUCUCUUGUACUUCUUUUUCUAUCAAUAUAUCUCUUUGUUGUUUCCUAUCCAAAAAAAAUCCCUAUCAAUUCCUAAGAUAACCAUAAAAUUGGUACCAUACAGGAUUUACACUCAAAGACAAAACUUAUGGAACUAGCUUAAACUACUAGAUCAAUGAAUAAUCACAGCAUCUUGACAUUUUUUUUAGCAUUCCAAAUACCUAAUCUUACUUUACUUAAAAUGUUAUACAAAUUCUUGGCUAAUUUAGUGAAAAACUAUAUGGUAGAACCUUCUCAUAAUUUUCCAAAAUCCAAAAUUCUAAUUUUAUCCAUGUUUUGUGCCUUUUUUCUUUAGUUCACACAGCUCCAAAUUCUUUUCCAUCUUGCCUCAUCUCAACUAGGACUGCUUGCUUGAACCCAAAUUUCCAAUUCAAUACUACGCAUAAAAGCAUUACACUUGACUGGGGUCAUGAUUUUAAUUUUCAAAUCUAUUUAUAAAUGUUUACUUUGUUGAUAGAAAUUUCCUGAAUUACACAAUUUAUGAACUAAUUUUGGCAGUCAUCUUUCUUAAUAUUUAAAUAUUUAAUUUCAAGCUUCCUAAUCCUAUUAAAUUUGUUUCCUCUCUCUCUCUCUCUCUCUCUAUCUCUGAUUCUUUUUUGGCUAACUCAAUGUAGCAGUACUUUAUUUUGUUCAUGCAUGGUCUCUUUCUCUUUUUGAAUCUAUUUUGGCAAAUUUAAUGUAGCAGUACUACUUUAUGAUGUUCAUGCAUGUCCUCUUUUUCAAAUUUACAAAAAGGGAAAUUUUCCAUCCAAUAUUUUAAUUUAUUUCAGUUGGUGCAUGGGUUCUACAACAAACAUAACAAUUUUCUAAGAUGCUAUAUAUGCAUCCAUUACUAAAUUUCAAGCUCUAAAAUUCCAAAUAUAAUUAUUAUCGUGCUAUAUAGACUUUGCCUUUAUCAUCACGCUAUAUAGACUUUGUCUUUGAAACUUUAGUAUUCAGUAUUAGGGAUUUUGUUCAAAUUAGUCUACAAGCAAUUCCAAUCCAAAAACCUCCUUCUCUUCCCACCUUCCUGGUCCCUCACCUCUUUUCUAGCCUUCAUAUAUUUAAGGAGAACCAAAGUCUUCACCUCUUAAUCCACUAAAGGCUGUCCAAAAAACCGAAACUUCAUGAACACUGAGAAACUAUUUCCCAACCACACUUCCAACUCCUCUCUUUUCCUCUUGAUUGACUGUAAUUAACCAAGCACUCUAGCGUCCACGGCUCCCUGUCAAAACAAGAGGCAGAGAAAGGCAUCCUCUUCUUGCUCAAAGGUUGCCACCCUACAACCUUUUUUGGCUUCCAUCUUCAUCAACAAGGACACAAUUUUAUUUUCAUAACCAUCCACUGGUAAUCCCAAAAACUUGUUAAAGGAGACAAAAGUCCCAAAAGAUAGAUCCAAAAGAUUCCCAUCUCCCAUAACAUCCCAACUGGGACUACCAUUUCUUAAAGCCACCUCCUCACAACUCAUUUUUAGUUCUACACUCUUGGAAUCUUUAGACUGAUGCUCCCAGAAGUCCACAACUAAACCCUCAUGAGAAAUCAUUCACAAAGGAUCAUAACCACCACCCUUGCAAUCUACUGGAAACCCCUCAUCUUGCUGCCUCCACAGAACCAAGCAAUUGGAAUCACCAGUGAUGAGCCCCCAUCGUUGGAGAAAGAAGGAGAAGAAAUAGGAGGCUGUCAAAAGAGCAAUUGACAAUAGCUUACCUAUAAAACUAUCUGCUUUGAACAAGAGAGUCGCACUAGUAGAUGGCAUUCUGUCCACCUAGCUCAUGCAAGAUGCAGAGACCAAGGAGAAGCUCCUGGAUGCCCAAGCUUCCAUAACCACACAGCAAAAUAGGUCUAUCAAAGACGGCUUUAAGCUAGCCCACACCAUAAUUUUCCAGGCCUGCAAGAGUCCUCGGCUGUCAAGGCCAAGCCCAAUGCAACGAGGGGCUCACCUUCAAUGAGAGAGGAAAGGCCCAUUGAUGGGAACUGGGAUAGGGCAACAAAAGAGAAAAAGGGCUAGAAGUUAGGCCACUGGCCCGCCAGGAACCAUAAAUAAAAGCUUAGAGGCCAUUCCCCCACUUAGCCCACUUAAUGCCACAUCUCUACUGCAAGCAAAAAAGGCUAGUCCCGCCCCUCUUGGACACCACGCCUUGACUUCGAGAGUGACGCAUACCUUUUUACUUUUGACACGCUUCCCAUCCUCUAACCCAUCCACGCAUGGCCUACCCUCACUGUCAUUCCUAACCUCGUACAUCCUAGAAUCCUCCUUCAGAGAAACCAUCAACAUCCAUGUUGGAUCUCCCACCAUAAUUGAACAACGUAGACUAAAGUCUUGGCUGCCACAUGCAAGAACCCUCCUCCUAUCAGAACUUACUAGGAUUCUAGCCCAUUGCAGAUGGAGUCUCCAUUGUAUCCAUAUCCAUAGCCACAAAUCCUCCACACACAUCACCCACCAUCUUAAAGAAUUUUUUUUUCCCACAAGUACAAUGACAACCCAACCACUCUGACCCAAAUUUCUUUUGCACAAACCCCUUCCCUUAAACACCCAGCUUGAGUUUCUAACCUCCAUUAAUCCAAUUGCAAUCCCUUUCCUUCGAAAGAGCCAAAACCUAUAUGCCACAACCUCUCAACAUCUUUAGUGUUCUCAAAUUCCGCAUAAGAGACCCCUUUCUGAGGGGAUUCUUCUACACACUCCCGUAGUUCACAAUCAUAUUCUGUAGGCUCCUUUGUAGGUUUAGGCAAUUGGAAAACACCAAUACUCUUCAAUUUACUAGCUAGGGUCCUCCAGCCCCCUAGAAAGCCCCUUCCUUUUAAAAGAUUAAGGAGAAUCUUUUCCCUUUUGCAAACAAAACAAAACGUAGCAAUAAACUACAAAAUUCCAAUUAAUAAACUCUUCCACAAUCUUUCCACUCCAUCCUUAAAGGCUUUCUAAUUUACCAACACACCAAACUUCAGCGCCCUCCAACAACAUAGAUAGGCCCCUCUCGCCAAAUCUGAUCCAAGAGGAGAGACCUUGCCCUUCCUCCACAAUCAUGUCAACUUCCCUGCAUUUAACCAUCUCCUUCGAAAUCUCAAAGGAUUUUGAUUCAACCCCAUGCCAGCAAUUUGCCCCAUUUUUACAUCUCUACCUACUAGCUUCAGUUGCAUUGACUUUGGUGACCAUAAGAACUAAUUUUUUGUACUUAGUGAUAUAUGAGUCAAUGACAAAUGUUAGCAUGUACAAUACUGCACAUGCUCUCUAAGUUUUGUCACACUUCGCUUAAGCUUGCCUUAGGUUACACCUUGCACCUAAGCCUCAGGAGAUCUAGACCAACAAACUUGGAAGCUGAUAAGUUGACCAAAUAAGGAGCUAAUCUUUUGUGGACUUCAUUGGGAUCUCAUACUCCCUUGAGAAGUCCUGGUGGUUUUUCAUAGAGUCUUUGUUUUCAUAUGUUUGUUUUACUUAUAACAAUUACAAGUAUAAUUCCUAGUUAAAAGUGGCUUGCUAUGAACUCAAUUCUUUGAGAGGGCAAUUGAGCAUCUUUGAGUCUGUAAGGCCUUGCUUCAAAUAUUUGGGCCUUAAUCACAGGCUAGGUUAAUUCCAAUAACAUUUGAGAUUGGGCAAUCAACAUUUUGAAUCUAAUUCAAGUAGAUUUAGGUCAAGGACAGCUGGUUUUCUAAUAUGUCUACCUUCCUACCACUCAUCCACACUCCAUCAAAUUUCCUAACGUUGAACCAAUUUUUCCUCCCCUAUGAACACCAAGAGGGAAUGAGUUAAGUACAUUAACCUAUCGAGUACACUUGGCUCAAGAACAAUUUCCUUCUAUUCAUGCCCUAAGUGCAAUACACUCAGCUCAAGAACGAUUUGUGUCUAUUCAUGCCCUAAGUGCAACACACUCGGGUCAAGAACAAUUUCCUUCUAUCCAUGCCCUAAGUGCAACUCCAACAGACAUCAGCAAGAGAUUUUGAAAUAACUCCCCUUGACGCUCCCUCAAGAAAUAUUUACAGGCUUCAACAAUGGGCCAUCUGAUUAACCCAGCUUUAAGUGCUCCGGGAACUUACUAGUUUUUAACAGCUAUCUCCAAAAAUGAACCUGACUAUCUAACACCGGCAACCCAAUCCCACACAAAAAGAUAUGCGCUAUUCAAUAAAUCAAUAAAUAUUUGCUUAGAUGGUGAAAAAUGGUGUGAUGCACACCAUAUCCUACAUGCUGCCUCUGCAUCAUUCAUGCAGCUGAAACCGACUCUCCUGUUGUGCUUAGAAUUUUGCAGAUCACUGCUCCCGCUCAUAUGCACACAGCAGCUUGGCUCCUCCAUUGCUUAGACCCUCCUUGUGAACCAUACUCCCAUAUGUGCUAGAAGAAAAGGCAUACUAUUCAACCUUCAAAUGCCUUUUUUGCCAGUUUACUGUUCAUCCUUCUUGAAAAAUUGUCCAGCCACUACAGUUGGACUCCUUCAAUAAUACCAUGGAAAAGAGUCUCCUAUUCAUUCAUCUAAAACUCCCUCAAAUUUACCUUCCACACCUUACAACAAGUUUCAAGUAAAUGACCCUAGAUUUACAUUUAAACUUCCAAUAGAAACCAAGAAUCUACCCAAAAAACAUUGCUUUUUCCUUUCUAGAUGCUAUUGAGCCAAGAAAUCUCAUCCUUCUUGAAGCCUAGUGUAAUCAAUGCCUCACAACUCCUCUCUGCAAUGGGGAGCCUAGUCUCCACCACCAUUUUCUUCUUUAAUAUCAAAAAGAUUUCUCUCCACUGCAGGGAAUUGUCAGACCAUGACAAUCUGGCUCCUACCCAUAUCUUAGCUUGGCAUAAGUUUCUUCCACUAAUACCUAUCAAAAAAAUAAUAAUAAGUUUCAUCCACUAAUCCUCCAUACACUUUUCAAUAUUGUAACUCGUAAAGAGACAACAUAUCAUAGUGCUAAAGAAUAGCUUCUGUUCAUGAUAUAAGAAACUUCAAAUGACAUCCUAUUAGCCCAAGAGUAUUAGUGAACUUUUUAGCAGUACUUUACAACUACCACAUUAUUUUAAUGUUUUUAGCCCAUAAGUAAUGUCAUAAUGCUUCGUAAGUUUUGAGUGAACCACCACAUAUGCAAGAUCAUAUAAACAGGAAAAAAUAAGGCAAAAGGAGAUGCAGAAAAUAUGAAUUUACGAUCAUCCAACAAAACAAAGUAUAUAAUAGUCUUACGUAUUUCUAUUAGUCAAAACAUAUUCAUUUAGAGAAACAAGAGUGAAUAGCAUGACCCUUACUACAACGUAAUAAUGUCCAAUCAACUUACAGCAACAUUUAGCAACCCAACAAAUGGGUAAGAUGAAAGCAUUGAUUUCAUUAUCUUUCUUUGUUUAGUUUGUGUGCCGUGGAACUGAAGCAUCCUCUCAAGAACCUACAAGUACAAGAAGACAUCCAUUGAGAAAUAGCAUCUCAUCUUUCAAAGGACAAAAGUUGCACAAAUAUGAAGCAUCCAGCUGUAGCCUGUGCUUAUGUACCUUAACUAGGUUCCUUAUCAAAAGAAAAAAAAAAUAGUAAACAAGAAACAAUAAAUAACAAAAAGAUAUAAUAAAUUAGAAAAUGAAAUGUUGACCUUAAAAAACCACAAUGAAAAAGACAUAAUAGAAGUAAAAAAAUGUCAAAAAUUCACGCCUAACCAAUCACUUAGAUUUUACAUGGGAUAUUGUUUUAGUUUCUAUUUAGGAGCUGAAGCAGGCAAUAUCAAAAUUAGGAAUUAAGCACAUCCCUUACCUCGAACGGAUACUAGCAGCUAGAGAGGAAAGACACACACUAGUUAUCAAUUAGGUUACACCUAGGAUAUUGUUCCAAUCUCCUAUUCCUUGGAUGUUUCAAUGCAACACCAAAAUAAGGAGUGAGAUAUGUCCCUUACCUAAUCCAAACACCAAGAAUGCACCAUUCAAUACAGGGGUGCAAUUCAUGUUGGCGGGUCAUGUUCAUGUCGUGUCAAAACCUGGGUAUUCUACAACAUAGUUUAACCUAAACCCGACACGAAUAACAAUUUUGUCAAAAACACAAACCCAAAUGCUACCUAUUAUUAAACAAGUAACACAUCGUGUAACCCCUUUAUAAUCAAGUCCUAUUUGAUAAUUAGGUUUGGUUAAGUCUUAUAUCUCAACUAAACAUUUUUAUGGAUCAAUUGACCUAUUUAUCUAAAAACAAACUUUAAAAUGAAUCAAAUAUGGGUUAAAUGGUCUAAAGUUAUAAUUAAGUUAAUUAACGGGAUUAUUAAAUGGGUCAAUUCAGGUCAAAUUCAUGUUAUACAAGUUGACCCAAAAACUACCUAUUUAUUAAACGAGUUAUGCAGAUCAACACAAAUUUGACCCAAACCCAAUUAUACUCGAUCCAAACCCACAAAAAGCAUGUUAGAUCUAAGUUAUGUUGGCAAAUCAUAUCAAACUUUACCACCCUUAAUUCAGUAUAUGCCAGCUGUCAAAAAGCUAAAAGCUAGACUAAGAUCCUUAGGCUCCAUCACUUGUAGGCAGGUAUCAAAAGAAAAAUAAAAGAGCACCACCUUCUCUUGCAAGCCAAAGGGCAUGCAGCCUCACAUAUUCAUGACACCAUGGCUUUCUAGCUUGGAGGAGUAUAAAGGUCUUUAGGUUAUAGUAGCACCAUCAGCUAUGCGUGCCUUUUAAAAUGCAAGAUCACAUCUAUGUAGGUAUCUUUAUCUUUUAACUUCAAGAGGACAUAUAUCAAAACUCAAUAACUAAGCUCCAUUUGACAAGCUUCUCAUAGUCUACAAGCUUUUCUUGACUGUUAAAGCCCUCGAAGCAUAAAGUACUUUAGUAGAAGAUAUUUGGAGCUUAAAAGCCCAUUCCAAACAGUUGGAGGCAAGUUCUUUUGCAGAAGAGCUCAAAGCAGAUUUCAAACUUAAAGUUUUAUUUUUACAUUUUACUACAUCAAAUAGGAAGGUAUUCUUUUGCACAGAUAUAUACAAAGAACUAGUUCACUAGAAGCCACAACUAUCAAACCCUCUACAGAUGGAGCUUUUGGAUUUUCAUGCUAUCAGUUUUGCACAAGACUACUUGAACUAAUAGAUGCCUUCGUUAAUAUUUAUAAACAUAAGAUCACGAGAAGCAUAGUGCCAAAAGAAAUACAAAGCUACAAAGAAAGAGAUGAUACAAAUUAAUUGAAAAUAUAGUCUGGCCAUUAAUUCAUACUUGAGUGUAGGAGCAUGAACAAACCUCAGCUAUGGUGUGCUCUUGACAUGCCUCCUUCCAGGUUGUGAUGAACAUCCUCAUAGAAUCAUUAGCAAGCAAAAAAUCCGCUUCAUUCAGAUUGUUAAGCUCCUUUUUCUCAUUGUCAUGGUCCACUGAAAGAGGAACUAGUUCUAAUUUAUUUCUUUUAGGCAAUUUGAGGUAUUUUGAAACAGUGCAACUUCGGUUGCUGGACUUUCUUUUCCUUUUAAAGGGCCCAGUAUUCUCACUGUGCAUUGAACUGCCACUAGCAGAAGGGUUUCCCUCUGUUUCACCUUUCAAUCCAAGUCGGGUCAUCUCUUCAAUUGCUGAUGGGUAGGGGCAGCUACUCACUCUGUCACGAGUUUUGGAAUUUGGUGAUGAAAACUUGCUAUUGCUGCACCCAUCAAUGUCUUCCUCACUCUCUUCAUAUUUAUGAUCAUCACUACCAUCCUCCUCUGAACAUGAUGAAACAAAUAUUGUGUGUUUACCACCAAAAUCGUCGUGUGCUGAGGCAAAUGACUUGACACGCUGGGACAUGGCACUGAAGCGUUCAUCUAACUUCUUUUUCUCUGAAGACCGAAGAGGGUGUUCCCUGAUUUUCUUAUCAGGAAUCUGUUUAAGUGACCCUUGACUCUUCUUUAAAGUCAUAUGUUCUAGCUUCCUAGCUUCACGGAUGAAACUAAUAUGCAUCCUAUGAUCAAAAAGUAGUAAUUCAAUUAGAUAACCAAUAUUUGAAUAAUUUUGAGUUUGCACUCAUUAUUUUUUUUGAUAGGAAGUUUGCACUCAUUAUGGCAGAUGAUGAACACAAGUGCACCAGCACAUACAAUGAACAACACCACCAAUGCUAAAAAAAAAGGCAUAAGAGGUUGCAUUCUGAUCCACUGCAAGUUCUGUUCUCAAAAACUACAAUACCAUAAGAAACUUAACUAAACUAUGAAAUUCAAAUCAUAAAAAGAUAAAAUUUGCAGAAGCAAUCCAUUUUUGAAAAUGAAAGUCCUAUCCUUUUAGCUGUUAAAUUAGACAUGGACAUCAUAUAUAGAUAAAGAAUUUGGUACAUAAAAAUUAGGAAAAAUAUGGCCAAUGCAUUGAAAAAGUAUGAUUCAUAAGGGGUUGCUGACUAGUUUUACUACUAGGUGUGGGUAUUUUUACGCACAUGAAUAAAAGAAAAAGAACAUGUAAAAAAAAUAUAAGUUGAGCCCUUAAGGCCUGGCUCAAGUGGUUCCAAGUUCAAGUCCCAAUGGGGAAAAAAAUUUACUUCUAUAUAUAUUUGAUAGGUAAAUUAGUAAUUCAUUAAAAAGCAAGAGCACAACAAAGCACACCGAAAGUAUACAAAGUGCGCCUAAGAAAACAACAACAAAAAAUGAGCCAAGGAGCAAUCAAGGUGGGAUUACAAAAAGGAUUAAUUGAUUAAAAGGGAUUAAAUCAUCCCAAAUUUGUAAAACUAACCUCUCCCAUUUUUUAACUUGAAGUGUAACCCAUUUUUAACAUAAAUACCUUCAACACUUCCAUUAUUUACAUGUGUGUUUUAAAAGAAAAGGUUAUUUUUGCAAGACAAAAAUGAGGGCAUUUUUAUUCAAAAUGGGUAUUUUUUAGGGUGAAAAAAAGCAGAGGGUUAGUUUACAAGGUGGGGAUGAUUUCAUCCCUUUGAAUCAAAUAACCCUUACAAAAAAUACCCCCCUCCCUUAAUACACACACACACACACACACACACACACACACAUAUAUAUAUAUAUAUAUAUACACACACAAUAGAACAUAAGUUGAAACAACCAAUAGAACCAAAAAAAAGGACAUAACGGUCACAUGAAUAUUAGACAUGUAGUUAUGUAUACUAUUAUCAUCUAAUUAUGUACUAUUAUUGUAAACAAUGCAUUAAAAUGCCUCAAAAGAUUUCAGCAUUUAUUGGAAAAGAGAAGUGAACUUAUACAUUUUGAAACAUUUAAAGAGGGAAUUAAAAGGGAGGGGGGGGGGGGGAGGGGGAAUAGACAAGAAAAAAAAAAACUGAAAAGAGGCUGAAGCAAACAUCCCAACUCUUCCACCACAACCAUUAUAGGAUACAUUAAUGGUAUCCCAGCCCCUUUUUUAUUAUUAUUAAAGUAUCCCCGCCUUUUUUUGUAAGCAAAAAUCAAAAUUUAAAAAUUUUAGUUAUAACUAUAANNNNNNNNNNNNNNNNNNNNNNNNNNNNNNNNNNNNNNNNNNNNNNNNNNNNNNNNNNNNNNNNNNNNNNNNNNNNNNNNNNNNNNNNNNNNNNNNNNNNAAAAAAGGACAUAACGGUCCCAUGAUUUUUAAACAUGUGGUUAUGUAUAUUAUUAUCAUUUAAUUAUGUAUUAUUAUUGUAAACAAUGCAUUAAAAUGCCUUAAAAGAUUUAGGAAAUUUUUGGAAAAGAGAAGUGAAUUUAUAAAUUUUGAAACAUUUAAAGAGGGAAUUAAAAGGGGGGGGUGGGGGGGGAGGGGGAAUAGACAAGAAAAAAAAAAACUGAAAAGAGGCUGAAGCAAACAUCCCAACUCUUCCACCACAACCAUUAUAGGAUACAUUAAUGGUAUCCAAGCCCCUUUUUUAUUAUUAUUAGAGUAUCCCAGCCUUUUUAUGUAAGCAAAAAUCAAAAUUUAAAAAUUCUAGUUAUAACUAUAACACAGAGGUUAUGAACACAACAAAAGAACAUUCUAUUAUGAAUAUCAAUCCACUGUAUGGUAUUUUGCAACAGUUAAGAGAUGACUGUAUGUGGUAAAGGUAAUAUAAAAAUCCAUGAAAGCCGCAAUUACAACCAUUAAAAUCAAAAAGUUGAUUCAUACAUCAUUCAGGCUUGUCAAAAACCAUGAAACAGAAACAUUAAAAACUAAACAAAGAAGAACACAGAGAUUGCCUUGAUGUGAUCAUAGGAAAUAUAUCUAGGUCACAUAUUUUGUUCAAAAAUAUACAUAGAACUGUUCAGCAGAGUAAACAAAUUGGCAGGGAUGAAAAAAAAAAGGGAAGAAGAAGAAGAAGAAAAUUGUUUGAGAAUGACUUUAACUAUGAGACGAUUCUGGGAGAUAAUUGAUGAGUUUCAAUUGAGGGAUUUACCUCUCACAGGGGGGUGCUUUACUUGGUUUGGUGGUCUGAAUAACAGUUCUUCUUCUAGGCUAGAUCGCUUCCUAGUUUCUGAAGAUUGGGAGUCAUUUUUUAAUGGUCUUUGUCAAAGUUUGCCGCCCAAGCCCACUUCUGAUCAUGCACCUAUUCUACUGGAUGGAGGAGGAAUCAGAGGUGGAAAAUCACCCUUUUGUUUCAAGAAUAUGUGGUUGAGAGUGGAAGGAUUCAAAGACUUGGAUAGGAGUUGGUGGAUGGUUACACUUUCAAUUGAUCAUAUAGUCACAUCUGAGCUUACAAGCUAAAGGCACUGAAGCAGGAUCUCAAAGUACCCUCAAGAUUCCAAGGCCAAAAGAAGGGCUGUGGAGGAUUUUAGCAAAUGGGCAAGCAUGGAAAAGAUUUCCUGGAGGCAAAAGUCAAGAGAAGUGUGGCUGAGAAAAGGGGAUAAAAACUCAAGCUUUUUCCACAAGAUGGCCAAUGCACAAAGAAGAAGAAAUUUCUUGUCGACUGUCAAAGUGAACGGAAGAAGAUUGACAAACGAAGAUGAGAUAAGGGAGGAGGUGGUUAACACUUUUCAUAGAAUCUUAUCAGAGACGGAAGAUUGAAGGCCAGGCAUCAAUGGGUUGUCCUUUUUUGCCUUGAACAAGGAGGAAUUAGGGCCAUUAGAGGAUCCUUUUUUUGAGGAAGAGGUUUUUGCAGCUCCUGCUAACUUGAGUGGAGACAACACUCUUGGUCCGGAUGGGUUUUCCUUAGCCUUUUGGCAAUCUUGUUAGGAUAUUAUCAAAAAUGAAGUUAUGGGUUUCUUUGUUAAGUUCCAUGAUCUAGGUCACUUAGAAGAAGCCUUAAGGCCACUUUUAUUGUGCUCAUUUCUAAGAAAGAGGGUGCAAAGGAUUUGAGGGACUUUCAUCCCAUCAAUUUGGUGGGGAGCCUUUAUAAGAUUCUAGCUAAGGUUUUGGUUAACAGACUAAAAAGAGUUGUCAGGAAAGUGAUUUCAAACUCCCAACAUGCUUUUGUGGAGGGAAGACAAAUCUUGGAUGUUAUCCUUAUAGCAAAUAAGGUGCUAGACUCAAGGUUGAAAAGCUCAAAAAGUGGGGUCAUUUGCAAAAUGGAUAUUGAAAAGGCCUAUGACCAUGUGAAUUAGGGAUUCUUAUUAGCAGUCUUGGGGAAAAUGGGUUUUAGGGCCAAAUGGGUAAGGUAGAUGAAGUGGUGCAUAUCCUCGACUCGGUUUACAGUUUUGAUUAAUGGGACCCCUAUAGGUUUCUUUCAAAGUUCUAGAGGCCGAAGACAGGGAGAUCAUUUUUCCCUUUUUCUCUUUAUUUUGGCAAUGGAGGCUCUUUCUAGUAUUUUGAAAGGGCUACAGAGGGUGGCUUCAUUAAGGGUUUCUCGACCAAUGGGAGAGGUGGUGUCCCAUCUUCUUUUUGUCGAUGAUACACUAGUUUUUUGUGACUCAAAUAAGGAGCAUUGGGAGGCUUUGAGUUGGGCUUUCAUGUGGUUUGAAGCGAUUUCUGGUCUUAAAAUUAAUUUGGAUAAGAGUGAGUUAAUCCCAGUGGGAGAGGUUUCUAAUGCAGAAGAGUUGGCUAGGGUGGUGGAAUGUAAAGUGGGCUCUCUCCCUUCUACUUAUCUAGGUCUACCUUUGGGCACUUCCUUUAAGUCUUUACCAGUUUGAGGUAGUGGAGGAAAGAUUUCAAAAAAAAAAAAAAACUCACUAUGUGGAAAAGACGGUACUUAUCAAAAGGGGGGAGAUUGACUUUAAUCAAGAGCACUUUAUCUAGUCUACCAAUCUAUUUUAUAUCUUUAUUUAUAAUCCCACGUAAGGUGAGCCUCAAAUUGGAGAAGCUUCAAAGAGAUUUCCUUUGGGGGGGGAGGGGGGGAAAGCUCCAAAGAAAUCCUCAUUUAGUGAAUUAGUCAUUAGUUAGCUUGGAUAAAAAGGAUAGAGGUCUAGGGAUUAGAAAGUUGUCCACUUUGAACAAAACCCCCCUUGGAAAAUGGAGUUGGAGAUUUGCUUCUAAAAAUAAGGUUCUAUGGAAGUUGGUGAUUGUAAGGGAGUAUGGAGAGGAAGAAAGGGGGUGGUGUUCCAGAGUUUCGAAGAAAGGUCAUGGGGUCGGUCUUUGAAAGGCAAUCUGGAAUGGGUGGAAAGAAUUCAACAAGAAGGUUGUUUUCAGGAUAGGAAAUGGUAGAAGGGUGAGGUUUUGGAAGAAUAAGUGGUGUAGGGAGGAUCCUUUAGCAAUGGCUUUUCUAGAGUUGUUUUCAAUUACCAUUGAUAAAGAAGCUUUAGGUAAACCAAAUGUGGGAGCAGGUUGGGGAAGGGGGUUGUUGGAACCCGAUGUUCAUAAGAUAGAUAAAUGAUUGAGAAUUGGGAAAGGUGGAAGAGUUGCUUAAUGAGUUGUAAGGACAAGUGAUCAAAAGUGGCGUUGAGGAUGUCAUGGCUUGGCGAGUAACAAAGGGAGACACCUUUAUAGUGAAAUCCUUUUACUACUCCCUAGUAGGGCGCCCAUUAAAAGGCUUCCCAUUAGGUAUUGUGUAGAACCCUUUAGUCCCAAUGAGAGUUAGUUUUUUUGCUUGGGAAGUAGUUUAGGGAAAAAAAUUAACUCUAGGUCAACUAAAAAAGAGGGGUUGGUGUCUUCCAAGCAAAUGUUAUUUGUCUAAAGAUAAAGAGGAGUCAUCAAACCAUAUCCUUCCCCACUGUCCAAAGGCGACCUGGUUGUUGCACCUCAUCCUUGCUCUUUUUAAUGUCCAAUGGGUAAUGCCUUUCUCAAUCAAGGAUGUCGUUCUUAGCCGGUAGGGAUCCUUUGUUGCAAAAAGGAAGAAAGUGUGAAGAGUAGCUCAUUUAUGAUUAUUUUGGACCCUUUGGAAAGAGAGAAAUCAAAGAGCCUUUGAAGAUUCAAACUUGACAAACCAUACUAUUUUACGCUCCUUCAUGCACAUGUUUUUGGAGUGGGUCAAGGUAUAUUUAGGGUCUAGCACUUUUGUCUUUAUUUGACUUUAUUGAUCGGUUGGGUUGUAAGUGAACCAAGGGUGUUUUUUUUUGUGAAUUCUUCCCUUUUUUUGGCCUUGUAUACAUCAUGUAUACUUUAGGAGCAUUUUAGGCGCUUUUAAUACAAUUUCUUUUACAUAUAAAAUAUAAAAAAAUAAAAAAAAUAAAAAUUAAAAAAAAAAAGAGAGAGAGAGAGAGAAAACAAGGAGAACAUUCUUGGAUGCCUAUGCUUCUGACUUUGAGUGAGAAUGAGAAGUUCAUGCACAUUCAUCAACUCCCACAAACAUAUAUAUAAAAAAUAAAUAGGAUUAGUUAUAUUUAUGUCAUGUUUACUAAACUUUUGAGGAAACGGAAUAAAAUGAAAGGAAAUAAAAAUUGGAAUGAAGGGAAAUGAAAAGAAUCAAAAUUAGAAAUCCUAUUUAAGUGUUUACUAGAAUAUCAUGAAACAGAAUGAGAAUGGAUCUAAUUAUUUUUUUAUCAGAAACAACAGAUGUAUUAAUUAAAAGUGAAUAAAAACAUGAAGGAUGAAAAACCCUCCCCAUGACAUACAAACCUGAUCAAAAGACCCGAAGAAACCUCCACUAUACAAGAAGGGUUACACAAAAGGAACAAAAAAACAUAUACAAGUAUAACAUCUCCUGAAGCUCAACGCUAGGGUGUACAUAUCAAAAGCCAACUAAGCUCAACCCCAUGGAUCUAAUUAUCACAGUGUCCUUAUACAAAGAGAUAAGAAAUUUUAAUAUUAAUAUUAUUCUUUUUAAAAUAAUCCCCAUAUGAAUGUUAAAUUUCAAGAUGAUUAUGUCUUCAUAUGUAUAUCCACGACUAGUUUCUCUGUUUUGGUCAAUGGAACCCUUUCAUGCUUUUUUCAAGGUUCUAAGGGUUUAAAGCAAGGAGACCCUCUUUCACCCUAUUUAUUUAUGAUUGCAAUGGUGGCACUCAGUUGCCUCUUAGAGAGCAAUGAAUGGAGGUUUUUUUCGGCUUGUCAAGUGAGGGGUGGAGGUGGUGAAGGGGUUUAGGUAUCCCAUUUGUUCGCAAAUGAUACAUUUGUCUUUUGUGAGGCUUCUCAAGAUCAAAUGACCUAUUUAUGCUAGUUGCUUAUGUGGUUUGAGGCCAUUUCGAGGCUGAGAAUUAAUUUGGAUAAAAGUGAGUUAAUUCCAGUGGGAAGAGUAGAUAAUGUGGAGGAAUUGGCUUCAAAGCUUGGUUGUAAGGUCGAAAGUCUCCCUUCCUCUUACUUGGCGAUGUCGUUGCAUGUUCCGUUUAAGUUCGUGGCAGUUUGGGAUGGAGUAAAAAAUAGGUUUUACAAGAGAUUGGCUAUGUGGAAGAGAUAAUAUAUUUCUUAAGGAAGGAGAAUCACCCCGAUGUGAAGCACUUUGUCUAACUUGCCUAUUUAUUUCAUGUCUAUGUUUUCCAUGCCAAGGAUGGUCAGAUUAAGGUUAAAGCAGAUUCAAAGGGAUUUUCUGUGGGGAGGUGGGGCUCUUGAGCGAAACUCAUUUAGUAAGGUGGGCGACUUUUUGCUUAGACGAAAGGAAAAGGGGAUUGGGAUUUAAAUGUCUUUCUACUCUCAACAAGGCUCUUCUUUGCAAAUGGAGUUGGCACUUUGUGAAUAAGAGAGGGGCCUUUUGGAAUCAAGUGAUCAAGGGGAAGUAUGGGGAAGAAAAAAGGGGUAUGUUGUAGGACUGUGGAAAGCAAUUAGGAAGAAUUGGGACCUUGUUAGGAGUAAACUUUCCUUUGUGGUGAGUAAUGGGCAAAGGGUGAAAUUUUGGAAGGAUAAAUAAUAUGAGGCUACACUUUUUGUGUUUCCUUCCCCUCUUUAUUUACUUUAGUCAUCUCUAAGGAGGCAUGGGUAAAGAAUGAUUGGAAUUCCUCAAAUAUAGGGGAGAGUUAGAGCCCUCUCUUCUCUAAACCUUUUAGCAAUUGGGAGGUGGAUGAAGUAGAGAGUUUCCUAUUAUGCCUUUAUGGGAAGAGAGUGCAUAGGGAUGAGAAGGACAAGGUGCUUUGAACAUAGACAAAGAGUGGCAAGUUCUCUAUUAAGUCUCUCUACAAAGCCUUGGAUUUGAGCAAUUCAAUUUCUUUUCCAAUGAAAAUCAUUUGGAAUUCGUGAGUGCAACCCAAAGUGAGCUUCUUUGCUUGGAAAGCAACGUGGGGAAAAGCUUUAACCUUGGACCAAAUUCAAAAAAGACGAUGGUCUUUCGCGAAUAGAUGUUAUCUUUGUCAAACACAUGAAGAAUCCAUAGAUCACAUCCUUCCCCAUUGUGUCAAGACAAAGGUUUUAAGGGAAAUGUUUUUUACUCUUUUUGGAGUGUCUUGGGUGCUACCUUCUUCGAUUAAAGCAACGCUUUUAGGUAGAAAUGGUUCCUUUGUGGACAAAAGCACAAGAAAGUUUGGAUAGCAAGCCCUUUAUACAUUUUUUGGAAAGUUUGAAAGGUAAGGAAUAGAAUUGCCUUCAAAGACAACACGUUUUCCAUCCAAAGGCUAAAAGGAUCUUUUGUUUACUUUCUUUAGUCGGAAACUAAGAUGUUUGUAAAAGUUGGUCCUUCGACGCUAAUUGGUUUCAUUGAUUACUAGGGCUCUCAUUGAGGAUGGGGAUGUUUUUUGCACCUCCUUUUUAGCAAUUUCUUUUUUGUUUGAGUUAUGUGGAGGUAGGUGCAUUUAUCUUAUACACUUGGGUCACUCUUUUGGCGCCUCUUUUUAAUAUACAUAUUCUUCUUUAUUUAUCAAGAAAAAAAAAUUCUUCAUAUGCAUAAUUAAAAUGAAAUUUUACACUUUAUCACUUACAAUAAUUAUUAAGAAGAUAUUUUUAAUCUUCUUUCCAACAAUUUCAUAAAUGAUUAUUAAUAUUUAUAUAAGUAAAAUAAAAUGGUUAUCAAAAUAUUGUUUGUUAAUCUACCUUCUAUGUGCUAAUCCUCACUUUUUUAAUAUUACUUAACAUACAACCAUCCUAAAUUUAGUAAAAAAAUUUAAUAUUGAGCCAAAUAAAUAAAAAUAUGAAUUAGGUUUGAACCUACCCUAUAAUAUAUAAAAUCUCUUUGAUGAUUAAAUAUGUUAUUAUAGCAGCAAUAUGUUUCCAGAGGGAGGGUAACUUUGAUUGGAAUUACUUUAUUCAAUUGACUUAUUAAUUUUAUGUCUUUGUUUUGUAUGCCACGGGUUAUUAGAUUGAGGCUAGAAUAGCUUCAAACGAACAUUCCAUAGGGUGUUAGGGCUUUAAAGUGUAAACCCCAUCUUGUUAAGUGGGCGGUUGUUUGUCGAGACAAGAGUAAAGGGGGCUUGGGGAUCAAAAGUCUUUCAGUUCUUAAUAAUGCUCUUCUUUGCAAGUGGAGUUGGCAUUUUGUGAUAGAGAGAAGGGUCUUUGAAAUCAAGUUAUCCGUGGUAAGUAUGGGAAAGCAAGAAGGGGGUAGGCAAAUCAAGAGGUAAAGAAGGGAUAUGGGAUUGGGUUGUAGAAAGCAAUAAGGAAGGAUUGGAGUAUUGUGAGUUUCAGGAAUUCCUUGGACAUGAAGACUCUAUUGAUCAUUUGUUGCUCCAUUGUGAAAUGACAAGGGUUUUAUGGAAGCUAAUUUUUGUAUUUUUUGGGGUGUCUUAGGUGUUUUCUUCGCCGGUUAAAGAUGCUUUGUUAGGUUAGCAUGGUUCUUUUGUGGGCAAAAAGCGAAAAAAGAUUUGGCAAUCAAGCUCUUUGUGUCUGUUUUGGAAUUGUGGAAGGCCAGGAACAACAUUACUUUCUUUAAUGAGAUUUUUUCUCUUCAAAAGUUGAAGAGGGAGUUUGUUUGUUUUUUGUGGUCUAAGUCUAAGUUGUUUCUAGAAAAGUGACCAUUGACUUUCGUAGGUUUUUUUGAAUGGUUGGGUACUUGUCGAGAUUGUUAAGGUUCUUUCUAUACUCUGUUGGUUGAGCUUUGAUGAUGAAGGGAGGUUUGUUUUCUUGUAUACCUUUGGGUCGUUUUUCUGGUGGCUCUUUUCUCUAAUUUAAGUCUUUAUUUAUCAAAAAAAAUGUUAUUAUCUCAAUUAAAAUUAAUUAAAAUAAUUUUUUAUCUUUAGUUGUUAUGCUAUUAUUUUUAAUUUUUUAGAAAAUAUUUUAUUUUUUUUAAUAUGUUAUUAUGUCAAAUUAAUAUAUAAGUUUAACAUAAUUAAAAAUGUAAUUAUAUUAAUCUCAAGGGCAUUUUUGUCCAAUUUUCAUUCAUGAGGAAAUAGGAAUUUCCUUAAGGAGCUUCAAGGAAACCCUUACUCCACUUUGAAGAAUGAGACUCUUUAAGAUUAGGUCAAUCCCACACCUUUCACUGAUUCCAAGUUUAAGUAAACACUUGGAAUGGAGGGAAAGGGAAUGACUCUCUUUUCUUUAAACAUGUCAUUAAAUAUAAAAUACCAUACACUUAAAGAAUACAUAUGUAGACUGAUCUAACUUAUAGGGUAUGCUUAUGGAGUUGUCGGUAGUUUCAUUCACCCUUCACUACUGCUUCCAGCGCUUUACAACAACCAACUCCAAAGUAUUUCUUUUUUUAAAUGCUUCAAAUAUUUUGUGGAGCAGUUACAAGGAAAUUGACCAUUAGCUGUAAUGCCACAAUGAGAAACACUAACACCAUAAAUGACUAAACUCUAUUAAUGCUGGUACCAAACUUUCUCAAAAAAUGUGUUAUUUAUAUCAAAAUGUAACAAUAGUAAGAAAUGUAUUGCAUACCCCAAGCUUUGAAUUCGCACACCAAGCCUUUCCCUCCCUGUGAGGGAUCGCUUCUUGGCAAUGUACUCCAGGAAUUCUUCAAUAAUAAUAUGUUUAUCUUGGCAAGCUUCCAUAAACUCAUCAAGACAAGAUAUUAUCUCUGCGCUAGUUAUCUUAAAUACUCCUGAUGCAUCAGAACUGAUCGAAAAGUAAUGCAUGAUAAGUGGAUGCCGUACCAAAGGACCCAAUUCAAGAUCUUCAAACUGCUCAACCCCCUCAUUCUUGCAGAUUGCCAUUUCCAAAUCAUACAAUGAAGUAAUUCUUCGAACCCCAACAAAGCAGUGGAUAAAUGAAUUGAUCUAAAUUACACAACAAAAAAAUCAAACAGUAAAUAGAGAGGAUGAAAGAAUGUUAACAUGAGAAAAACUUCACUUAAUUGCUUAAAGAAGAAAGAAAAAUUUGACCGCAGAAUUUUGAUUCUUAUCCUUUCUUUUGCUUUCAUUUCUUAAAAAUAAAGACCCAUUUAAAAAUGCGUAAGGAUCAUGUACAUUUGCACCCUCAAAGGUAGUCUGAGUCACACAACCAAUCAAGUUUAUGCAGUGUUUCAAAAGAAGUGUUGUGUAUAACAUUUGUGACAUAAUGCAAGAACAUUUUUGCAGGGUCCAACUUAUCUUUGCUGGACCAGGAUUCUUGAAUAUUUCCCUACAUACGGCUUUAUCAGUCUCUCUCUCUCUCUCUCUCUCUCUGAUAGGUCAAUGAAAGAACAUAUUAAAAGUGCCUAAUAAGAGAGUGCAAAAAGGUAUACACGUUGUAUACAAACAACCUCAUUCAUUUUUUCUCCUUGUGCUCAUCUCCAAACUCUCUCUCUCUCUCUUUCUUUUCUUUUCUUUUUUGAUAGGUCAAAGAAAGAAAAUUUUAAAAGCACCUAAUAAGAGAGCAUGAAAAGGUAUACACGUUGUAUACAAACAGCCUCAUUCAUUUUCUCUCUUUGUGCUCAUCUCCAAAACAAUGAAGACAAAUUCAAAAUUCUAACUACUGUUCCUCCCAUCCAAUAAAUUCAUUUUUCACUGCCAACCAAGGUUAACCUCACAUUUGCAUGCUAGAAAACUGGGGAAAACAAAAGAAUAGUAUUAUGUUUUCUGUUGUUUUGGCUUCCAGAAACUGAAGAACUUAUUCAACUAAGCCAGAUUUGAAUGCCACACAGUUGGGCGAGAGUUCAUAGUUCUGUAAAAGGCAAGACAUUAAAAGCUCUAGCAUAAAAUUUUACAUUUCUUUCCUUAACCUACAUCUCUUAAGCAACGAAACAGAACCUUUGUCACUCUCUUUAUAAUUUCCUCACAGAACACUCACUUCCUAUAUUUUAAUUUAUUUUCUUGUUCUAAACUUCCUCAGCAACCAAACACAACUUCACCCUCUACUUCGUUGCCAAGAAAACGAAGGGAAUAAAUACAAACUAAUUAAAUAUGUUCUUUCAUUGACCAGAGGGAUUUUUUGUGGGGUGGGGGAGCUCUUGUCCAAAAACCUCACCUUGUCAAAUGAAACUUGGUUUGCUUGGAAAAAAAGAAAGGUGGGCUAGGUGUGAAAAAUUUAGCUUUGAUGAAUAGUGCUAUUUUGUGCAAAUGGAAUUAGAGGUAUGCUAAUGAAAGAGAGGCGUUGUGGAGGCGUGUAAUUAACCUCAAGAAUGGCGAAGAGGAGGGGGGAUGGCAUACUCGGGAUGUAAUUGGGAGAAACGGUGUUGGGCUUUGGAAAACAAUCAGGAAGAAGUGGUGGUUGUUAGAUGGUAGGGUAGCUUACCAUGUGGGUAAUGGGCAAAGAGUGAGAUUCUGGAAAGACAAGUGGUACGGAGAUGGGCCACUUUGUGAGUCCUUCUCCUCUCUUUUCUCCAUUUCCAUGUCUAAAAAUGCUUGGGUUUCGGAGGUUUGGAAUCCCGUUGGAGAUGGGGAUGGUUGGACUCCUCUUUUUGCAAGGGUGUUUAAUGAUUGGGAGAUCAAUUUGGUGGAGCGUUUGUUGCAGAAGAUCCAUGCCUUUAGGGUUCAAAGGGAUGAGGAAGAUAGAGUGAUCUGGUCAGCUUCAAAUGACGGUGCUUUCUCAGUUAAGUCUCUUUAUUCUAUGUUGGAGCGGGGAGGUUCUUCUAUGUUCCCUAGCGAAAGAAUUUGGAGGGUAAGAGUGCCUCCAAAGAUAGCUUUCUUUGCUUGGGAGGCUUCCUGGGGUAAAGUCUUAACUUUGGAGAAUCUUCAAAGGAGGGGGUUCUCUUUGGCAAACAGGUGCUUUCUUUGUCUUUCCGAAGCAGAAACCGUGAAUCAUCUCUUACUUCAUUGUGUUAAGACGCGGGUCUUGUGGAACCUUCUUUUCUCCCUUUUUGGUGUAUCUUGGACUCUUUCGUGUACAGUGAAGGCAACCCUUCUUGGAUGGAAUGAAGUAUUUGUGGGGAAAAGACGCAAGAGGGCUUGGAAAAUGGCUCCUUUAUGUAUAUUUUGGUCAAUCUGGAAGGAGAGAAAUAGACUAGCUUUUGGGAAUGAGGAACUCUCGCUUCAAAGAUUGAAAUAUUCUUUUGUAUGUAAUCUUUGGUCUUGGGUCAGGGUUUCCUUAGUAGAGAGCUCUUCUUCUCUUAUAAGUUUUUUAGACUAGAUAAGCUCCUAGUAAGGGAAGGCGGUGGGUAUAUUCCCUAUAUACUUCAAGAGCACUGGUUUUUUGGUGUUUCCUCUUUUUGAUUAAUAUACUUACUUUUUACUUAUCAAAAAAAAAAAAUACUGAUGGAUCAAAUUUUUUGGUUUCUCGAACGAUAAAACUUAAGUCAGCUCAAUGUAGCAGAGGCUUUAUCAUCCAUAAUCCUCAAUAUAAGUUUGCUUUCAAAAUUGGUUGUUGCUUUUCCUACAACUGCUCAACAAUUUAACUAAUCUUUACUCAGUUUAAUAGUUUGGAGAACCCAACAACCUCUUAGUUUUCAAAUAUUAGUUGGUUACUUUUCCUAUCCUUUCUUAGCAACCAAAAAGAAAAACAAAACAAAAAAAACUUGCAUUACCUUUCCCUCUAUGACUAUAAGGCUGUGAAGAGACGGAACCUCCUGCAUCGGAAACCCCAACGAUUCCCAGGAAUCAACCUGUAGCGCCAACAACGCUGAUUGAGACACCUUCCACGCCGACACGCUUUCACCGGUGGCAAUAACGUCUCGGCGAGCCUUGACAACGGCGCCGUCGACCCUGUCCAAAGCCUCUUUGUUCCGCUUUGGGGGUUGAGGCCUGAACCCCGUGAAAUUAGUGUUUUGGAUUGCAAAACUAGGGUUUUGUAAUGGAAAACUAGUGUUUUGCAUUGGCAAAUUAGGGUUUUGCAAUGGCAAAUUAGUGUUUUGCAUUGGCAAAGUAGGGUUUUGCGUUGGCAAAGUAGGGUUUUGGAGGUAUGGGAGGCCGAGGUUGGCCUGGAAAGUAGGAUUUUGGAAGUAGGGAUUUACGUUCUGGAUGAAAUAAUUAGGAGUCGGAGGUAGUGCUUGCAGUGGCGGCACUGCCCCACCACGACCGCUGCCACCGCCGGCGGCGGUAGGGCGGUGGCCAGGAGGGUUGUGUCCGUACAUGGCGAAAUCAGUUGAAGAGAAAGGAAAACAUUUAGCGGGGUGUUUUGAAUAUAUAUAUUCACUGGAAUCUCGCCACGUCAGCAAAAAGAAAAGUUGCUAUGUUGAGCCAAUUUUACUUCUUUUUUUUCUUACUAAUUUCUUUUAUUAAAUAACAUUGAUUAAAAACUAUUCAAAUUUUGAAAUUAUUUAAAUUAUGAAUUUUUUUUUAUAUUCUUCUAUACAUUUUUCAUUAGUAUUAGUCUAUUUAAAUAUAUGAGUUAUGUUUCAUUUGAAAAGUGUUAAGAAAGGAAAAAUAAUAAUUAAAAUAACUUGCUUUUUCAUAUUUGAUUUCAUCGUGAAAAAUAUUAAAAAUAAUCAAAUAUAAUUAAUUAAAAUCUAUAUAUUUUUUAAUUAUAUAAAUUUUACAUUGAGGAUGAUAAAUAAAUAAAAUAAAUUUAAAAUAUUAUAUAUAAAUAAUUUAUUAAUUUGAAAUUUAAUAAAUAAACAAAUGCUUUUAAGGUUUACCCAAUUAAUGUAAAACAUAAUAUUAGUCCAUUAUUAACUAAUAACUUAAGUCUUUAAGUCAAAACCCGAUAUCAUUUUAUUAGCUUUUUGUCUUCACAAUAUAUAUAAAGAGAGAGUCAGUUUGGAAAUUGUUUUUAAAAGUUUUUUUUUCUAAAACUAUAAAAUUAUUUUCCAUAUUCAAAAAUAGGUUUAAUAAUUUUUUUUAAUAAAAAACAAUGUUUUUGAGAACUUUUUUUGAAAAUAGUGCAUUUUUUAUAAUAUAUUUAAAUUAUUUUAAGUUAAUUUCACUUGUGUUUUUUGAAAUUGUUUUAAAAUUUAAUUAUAUAAAUAUGGAGAAUGAUUAAAAUAAAACAAUAAAAUAUUUGAAAACAUGAAAAAUAACUGAGAAUAUUUUAAGUUUGUAAAUAGACUUUUACUUUAUAAAACAUAAAAAAUUGUUUUUGAAAGCUAUUUUUUGAGAAAUGUUUAUUAAAACCAUUCUUGUACAAGCCUUGUAUCUUUGCGUAGAUUUUCAAGACUAAGAAUGAUGCAAUCAAUUUGGAGUAGCCUUAAACCUAAAUUGAUGAAGAGAUAUUGAGAAAACCCACCUUAGGAUGAGUGAUUAAGGUUAUGUCCCUAGGAAAGUUAUUUGGAUGUUGUUUAAGUCAUUGUGACUAAACUAUUGAAUCCUUAUGAUUUAAUUAUCUUAAUAACACAUAUAGUUCCUUUAGGUUCCACAUAAGUUACCCAUUUAAUUACUUGUCUAAGAUAUAAUUUUCGCAAUAAGAUUUUACAGUCUGUCUUAAGUGGAGUGUUGUGAUGUGUUCAAAAAUAUAAGACGUAUAUACAAAUAAGUCACCAUGAUUUUUUACAUGAAAAAUCUCUUUGCUAGGUGAAGCUAGUCUUCUUCGCAAUAAAAUAUUCCACUAUAAUCAAUCAAAAUUACAACGUUAUUACCUUGUAAGUUCUUUGAUCCUCCACAAUCAAUUAUAUUGUAUAUAACCUCUUUUUAUAACUCUUUCUUAAUCUCCCUCUACUUUAGAAUUGAACUAAAUUGAUCCAUCGUAAAGCAUAAGCUCUUAUCGAAGUGAUCUUUAAAGUUAUUUUGAAGGUUGAAUUGUUUCACAUAUAUAACCCUCCGAAAACUAUCAUUUUGUUGAUAAUUCACUUUGUGGGUUUGUAUUUUUUUUUUUUUUGUGCAUCCAUGCUAUGGUAAACCAUUUUUGGAUUUAUUAUUUAUUUAAAAAUUGAUUUUUUUUAUUCAUUUGAAGGCGACUUCUUUUAAUUAUUUUUUUUAAAUAAAAACAUAAUAAAAAAAUAAAAUUUAAGUAGAUGAAAUCACAAGGAUCCCAAGUGAAGAGAAGUAGGGAAUGAAUGCUCAAUACCUUUUACCGAAGAGAAGGUAACAGUCAGCUAGGUUCACCCAAUAGGGAAAAAGAAAGGGACAAGUCAAUGCAGACUAGGUCUGCAUGUUGAGCACUCUUAUAAUCACCAAAUUCCCACUGCAAUUGAUGAUUUCUCUUCUACUUGAUGAGAACACACUAACUCCUUUAAUAUAUAUAUAAAAUAGAAGGUAAAGUCUACAUAUCAAACAUAGGUUUGAGAACUAGGCUACUUAGUGGAAGAGUGUUAGACCAUUAAACCCGAAGCACUCUUAACAAUUUAUCAAUUAAUUGAUAAGCACAAAUAUGAAAAAGAAAGUAAUGAAAUGCAUACAGUGGGUCACAAAUGAAAAGAGAAGUAUAGGAAUUGCAUGACUUGAAUUAUAUAAAGGGGAUCAAUCUAAGUAAUGCCAGUUGUUCUCAUACCAUGCUCAUUACACAAGGCAUAUUCAAGGAUUUGAAUUUAUGAAAUCUCACAUUUCUAAAGACAAAUCAAGGUCCAUAAAUCUCAAAAUUUGGUUUCGUACAACCAAUGAACUAAUAUCCAAUUCUUGAAGCUUUAUUAAAUCUACACAACAAUCAAAGCUAGAAUAUCGGUGCAUCUCCUUAUUUUCUCAUCCAUUACUUUUCUCAAUAAAUGAAGGUUAUAUUUGGUUUCAGAAAAGUACUAAAUAAAACAAAAAGAAAAAGGAAAAGUUAAGAAAAAUGAUUUUCUCAUAUUCAAUUUUAUUAUGAAAAUUUCUAUAAAAAAAGUCAAAUAUAAUUAGAAUUAUUAAAAAAAAUUACAUAUUUUUAAAUUAUUUAAUUUUGAUAUAAAAUGGUUAAAUAAUAAAAAGAUUUAAAAUAAUUUAUAAACUUUAAAUUUAUUUUUUUUAUUUUUUUUCUAUUAUCUUUAUCUCACAUUUUUCUUUAAAAUUUUCGAUAACCAAACGAGAUAAACACUCUCAACAACGGAGUUUCUCUCUCCAAUGCCCAAGAAAUUCCUCAUAGUUUCCCCUCUCCACCCUAAAGAAGUGUCUCUCCCCUCUCGACUCUAUCAAAUGAAAACUAUAGUUCUUUUUAUAGGCAAAAUGCCCAGCUUCAUCUCUAAUUCGACUCCUCAAAGCACUUGUGCAUUCUAUUUGGGACCCCCAAGGCAUCUUUAUGCACCUCAUGUUAUUUGUUACAUGUUCACACAACUCUGAAUUGGUCCAACACCUUAACCAAGUCCUCUACCAGAUCAUCUCACUUUCCUACAGUUUAGGAACAUGUUCCACAAACUGUUGAUAAUGGUGGCAAAUGGCAAACGACGUGGUUUGAUGGGAACCCACAACUCGCUAUAUUUGGUUUUUGGCCCUGAACUCAUCUCUCUAUUGUUAUGUUCAUCAGUGAUACACCAUCUAACGAGAGAGAUCAGAGUUUGGAAAAUAAAAAAUCUGCAGCAACUAGUCAGUAUUGAAUUCAGAAACAGUGGUUGGAGGUAAGUAACUGAUCUUAGAUCUUUUCAGAUUUGCUAGUAUGACAAAAGUUUCAUAUACUUUGGAUUGAAUGUAUUAUUACAUUUGGUAUCAAAACCAUAUGAAUCUUACUUCUACUUUGGUAUUGAUUUUUUGCAUGAGAAACCUUGUUAUAUUUUCUGAUCUAUUAAAUCACUGCAUAAAAUGAAAUACCUUGCUUGCUGCCGGGAACGUAAAAAAAAAAAAAAAAAAAAAAACCCACUUGCAAAAUGCGCUUUCUUCAAUGACUAGAAAGUAACAAAUAAGGGAUGGCCAAACCUCCACUUGGAUCCACCACUUAAAGCCCAAAGUAGGAGUCCAGGAUAUACAAAUCUCCUAUUUUCUUGUUAAAUCGCAGUCUUAGCAACCUUCCACAUAUAUGUUCCAUCUCCGAAGCAAACAACCUCACACACUCAUUCCUUUCAGAAGUGGUGAUAGCAAAAUCAAUCUAUUUGCGACCAUCUCCUUUCCAUUAAGAACUCGGUUGUCGCCAACGCCGAUAUAGGGGCCUUCUCAUUUGGGGUCGAAAGCGAUACUCUCCAAUUCGAAGGCUCCGGUGACUUGGAUUACUUCUGAGGCGUGGAAGGGCUCGCGAGCGGACUCCUAGUGGAGCAAGCGUUGAGGCGGGGAUGGAGAAGUCGGGGUUGCACUCAGCCGAAACCACCUCGUCCCAUUUGUGGUGAUCGUUGACGCUGUCACGACCAACCAUGUUGAUCUGGCCUGUGAGAAUAUAGGUUGUUCCUGUUGGUGAUGCAGGUGGCUGAAGGGCACCUGUGAGGUUUUUCCUGCCCGUGUGAUGCAGGCGGCUCCAAGGUUUGGACUGUUGUCGGUGUUGGAAGGUUGUCGCGCUGAGUUUUGGUGUGGUGUAGCCGGUGAUGGAGCAGUUCACGCGAGUGGCGAAAAAAUAGGAUCAUAGGUUUGGUGCAGGUGAUAUUAAGAUGUUGAACUUAGAGAGAGAUUGGGUUUCCCUUGAAGCCCACUAAAGUUUUGGGCCAUGAGAAAAAUGAAAAAUUGGGUCAUGGAUAAAUGUGAAAGUUGGGCCAGUUUAGGCCCUUAUGGGCCGGUUUGAAAUAUUUUGUUGGGCUUGGAAUUGAUUGUUUUUUAUAUGGACUUGGGCACCCAAUCAAAAUCUGAAAUCUCUUUUACUUAAAAAAAAAUUAAUUAAUUAAAUUAUUUUGUGAUUUUUAUACAUGCAAAUUAAAUUAUUUUAUGCUAAUUUGUAUGUAGUAUGUGUAAAUUUGUUGCUUUAAUUGCAUGAAAUGUAGCCUAAAUUUGUGUUAGAUAAAUUAAAGUUAUGACAUAUAGUUUUAAUGUCUAGUGAACCAUAUAAUUUUAAAUAAUUAAAGAAUAGCCACAACAUCUUUAAUUAUGUAAAAUUAUAUAUGAAGUGGAUAAAGAUCACAUAAUAGACAUUAAUUGUAAUUAAUUAUAUAAAUAUAAUGAUUUUACCCCAUAGGGAUUUCAUUAUGUUUAUAUAAUUAAUUAGGAUAAAAUGUUAAAAUUGGUUUUUCCUAAUUUACCCACAAGAGUUAGGAAAAAUUAAUUUAAUGGUUUAUUAUAAAGCUUAAAAAUAGAAGAUAUCAAACUAUAUUCAUAAUAAAUAUUAUAAAUUUAGUACAAUGGUUUGAUAAAAUCUAUCAUAGAGAUAAUGAAUAUGAUUGAAUUAAAGAUUUAGCCCACAUGCAAUUUUUAAUAAAAUUAGAUUCAUUUUUAAGUGUGUUUUACAUUGGUAAAUCAUGAAUUUAUUUAAAGCCUCAAUUAUUAAUAAGCUUGUAAUCUUUUUGUGCAGUUAUACUUCACAUUUUUGAUAGUCGUUGUGAGGUUCUCAAACUUAGGAGAGAUAACUUUAAGUUAUGGAAUGAGAGAGUUCUUCUUCAAUUAGGGUGCAUGGACAUAGACUAUGUCAUAAGGAAACAUGAACCACCUAAGAUCACUGAUACCAGCACACCUGAUCAAAUUCUAUUGUACGAACGCUGGGAGAAAUCUAAUCGCCUCAGCGUGAUGUAUAUUAAGAUAAAUAUUAGUGUUGGUAUACGUGGUUCAAUCGAGCAGCAUGAGAAUGUCCGCGAAUUGCUAAAGGCUAUUGACGAACAAUUCGUCACUUUAGAUAAAGCCUUGGCGAGCACCCUAAUUAUGAAGUUCACAUCCCUGAAGCUCACUGGUAUAAGAGGUGUACGCGAACACAUCAUGGAAAUGAGGGACAUAGUGGCUCAAUUGAAAAAACUCGAGGUAGAAAUGUCUGAAUCCUUCUUGCACUUUAUCCUUAACACUCUUCCGCCUCAGUAUGGACCUUUUAAAAUCUCUAACAACACACACUUAUCCUCAAUGAAUUGAUGACCAUGUGUGUUUAAGAGGAAAAAAGGUUAAUGAUGGAGAAAGGAGAAAGUGCCAUGCUGGUGACACAAAAGAAAUGAAAGAAAGGAAAAUCUCAAGCCAGUCAGAAAGGGAAGCAACAAAUUCCUAAAAAAUCUAACAUUAAGAUAGACGAAAAGUGUUUCUUCUGUAAAAAGAAAUGACACGUGAAGAAGAAAUGUUUGAAAUUCUAGAAAUGGCUUGAGAAGAAAGGUAACUCUACCUCAUUUGUUUUUUGUGAAUCUAAUAUGGUUAAUGUAAAUACCAACACAUGGUAGAUUGAUUAUGGAUCUAUAAUCCACAUUUCAAAUUCCUUGCAGGGUAUGCAAAACCUAAGGAAGCUAGUGAACAGUGAGCAAUUCAUCUUAUCCAGAAACAAGAUGGGCUCGCAUGUGGAAGUAAUAGGGACAUGUUAUUUAACUUCAAAUGGUGGUUUUGUUUUGGAAUUGCAAGGACCUUUUAUGUACCAAGUUUCUCACAAAACUUGAUUUUAGUUUCUAGACUUGUACCGUUUGGAUAUUCCUUUCAUUUUUCAGAAACAUCUUUCAGUUUGACUUUAAUUAUAAAUCUGAUUGUGUUGGGAAUGGUAUUUUGUUUGAUGGUCUUUAUCGUAUAUUUUUAUAAAAUGAUAUCACUUAUAAUUCAUUACAUGUCCAAACUAGCAUUAAAAGAUGUGUUGUAAAUGAAGAUUUCUCUAUAUUAUGACAUUGGAAAUUAGGUCAUAUCUCCAUAGAUAGAAUCAAAAGAUUGAUAAAUGAUGGGGUACUUAGUACUCUAGAUUUUACCAACUUUGAGACUUGUGUGGACUGCAUUAAGGGAAAACAGACCAACAAGUCAAAGAGAGGUGUUACUAGGAGUUCCACCAUAUUAGAGAUCAUACAUACUGAUAUAUGUAGUCUUUACAUGGACACUCAUGGUCAGAAAUACUUCAUCUCUUUCAUAAAUGAUUUAUCACGAUACAUGUAUCUCUACAUACUUCACAACAAAAAUGAAGCAUUAGAUGCCUUUAAGGUUUUCAAGGCAAAAGUAGAGAAACAAUAUGGUAAACAAAUUAAGAUCAUGAAAUCAAAUAGAGGUGGAAAAUAUUAUGGUAGAUACUUGGAAGAUGGACAAACACCUGGGCCAUUUACGAAGUUUCUUCAAGAGCAUGGGAUUGUUGCCCAAUACACCAUGCCUGGUUUUCCAAACCGAAAUGGUGUAGCAGAAAAAAGAAACCGAACUUUAAUGGAUAUGGUGAGGAGUAUGUUGAGCAGCUCAAAACUUCCUAAAUUCUUGUGGACUGAAGCACUUAAGAUGACAGUGUAUAUAUUAAACCAAGUUCCAACCAAGGCUGUCCCAAAGACGCCAUUUGAGUUAUGGAAAGUGAGAAAAUAAAGGUUAUGCUUAAUUAAGAAAAACACCCAAAAGAGGGGGGGGGGGGGUGGAUUAGGUUUUUUAAAUUCUUUUCAAUCACAAUAUAAACAAAAUAAAGAGAUAGAGUUAGAAAAUUCAAAUUCGGCUUUUAUAGUGGUUCAACACUUCCUUGCCUACGUCCACUCUCCUCAAUCUCCUAACCGAGUGAGGGUUCUACUAACUUGAAGCUUCAACCAAGCUUCCAAUCUUCUUACACUUGGAUUCCGACUCCAAUGGGCUCUUACACAAUCUCUUCAAGAUUCAAACCUCUUCAUUAAAUCCUUAAAAAUAUGGUAUUGGUAACUUAAGGAGUCUUUGAAUCCUUUAGAAUGGUUUGAGUACUUGAAACUAACCUAAUGAUUUAAAUUUAUUACUAGCUAGUACCACAUUCAAAGACUCCUUUGGAAUGUUAAGUUCGAGUUCUUAAUAGCUACUAAUCCCUUAAUAAUGACUAUAACAAAAGUGAAGGGAAGUACGUCGAAGCCUACCCCCACUCCCCACCCCCUUGGAUUUUUUAUUUUUAUAUAAGCAAUACUUAAAAAAAAAAUAAAAAAUGGACCCCCAAAGUCCCAUAGUUGUCAAUCGCCCCUCAACCUUAAAUCCUAACUCCGUUAUUACUUAGAGCUUUACACCUUCAAGAACAAUAAUUUCUUGAAUUUAGAAUGAGUCUUAUUAUUAAAGAAUUCACAAUUUAAAAUUUCCCCAUGAAGAAACUUCAAAAUUAAACUCAAUUUUGUGUUAGAUUUGUAUCAAAGAAUUCUCGAAGGCAAGAAUUCUUUCACAUGAUUAGAGCAAUCCUUUUUAUAUUCGACAAUGUUAAGGGUUCAAUAGACAACAUUUCCUAAUUGUUUUCCAUCUUAACUUAAAAUUUAUUGAAAACUUUAAGUUAAAAAGACAAAUCCACGCAAAAACUUCUUUCAUCAUAUUUAUAAAAAAUGACUAAAAGAAAUAUAAGAAUCUUUCCACAAUAGUGAUUUGAUGUAAUAGGAAAACAUCCAAAAUCGAGAUCAUCACCAAUAUGAUUGUGGUCUCUGGACAACCAUUGUUCUAGCCACCAAGCCAAUGCCAAACAACCCUCAUUCCAUAACUAAAUUAAACCUAAUAACUAAGCUAUAACAGCCCAAAAACCUAACUUUCCAUCAUUUAAAAAAUAGAACCAAACUAACUUGAAAAUUGAUGCUAAACCAAAUUAAAAUGGAUACCAAACCAGCCUAAGAACUUAUGCUAAAUCAACCUAAUUUGAGUGUGUGGUAAAUUCUAAAAAGACUAAAUUUAUUCUUUUAUAAAUAGAUUUCAGCUUAAUGACUUUCAACUUUGCAACCAUACUAAUUGUUUUUUCUUUUAGAUAUUAGUGUAAAUAAAAGGAAGGAUUUUUCAUUACCUUCAUAUAUGUCUAAAAAAAUUCAAUAUGAUUGUUUUACUAGUAAGUUUUAUGCCCCAAAAUGUGAAUGAAAUUUCGAAUAUGACAACCACUCAAAGUUUCAUAGCCUAAGAUUUUUUUUACCUUCAUCUUCACAAAGAAAACCAAAAGAAAAAAACUUUUAAAGAAGUGCUUAAGGAGAAAACCCUAUUAUGUUGUUUUUUUUUUAUUUAAAAAAAAUGAUAUCUUCUUUUUAUUUCUUUCAUUUUUUUUCAAUGGUAGUAUGGAUAGUUAAAAAAACUCUCAGAAGUUGCUUCCUCUAUUUUUUAAGAUAUUGGAUCGGGUUAUGUUAGCCCACUUGAGUCCAAACCCAUGUCGAACAAUUACAUGCAACUCCUUUGACUAGGGACUGUGGAAAUAAAAAUUCUCUUUUAAUUGCAUUUUUUUAAAAGCAUAAAGUUAAACAAUAAAAUUUAAAAAGAGUGCAACAUGAGGGAUUCUUCAAACUUACAUAGUUUUGAUGGGAUAUAUAUUUUAAAUAAUUAAUUUUUUUUAGAAAGAAAAAAAUAAAACAAUAAAAUUUCAAAAAGGAUGCAAAAUGAGGGAAUUUUGAAACUUGGGAUAAUUUUAAUGUUAUGACUUAUAAUUUUGCCUAUGACUUGUAAUGUUAUGCAUUUUUAUGUACUUUUAAUCCAUAGGUUUUCUACUAACAAGUAAAUCAAAAAGAAAAAUAAGACAAUGUUUCCAUGUUCAAGUCUAUGGUUUACUUUGGAUGGAUUCUUAGAGUGUGUUUGAUAAUGAUUUUUAAAAAUAAAAUAACACAUGUCCACAGUCGAAUUUAGAUGGAUUCUUAAUCAACUUAAAAAUUGAAUCAAAUUAAUCAAUAUAGAUUAAGUCAAAACUGAUUGAAUCGUUUUAGUUAUUAAACAAAAUUGAUCCAAUUUACUAUCAAUUGGUAUUGGUUUAGUUCAUUUAGAUGAGCAAAAUUGGAUUUCAUAUUACAAUAUUGAAACAAAGAUAUCAGAAUAUCAAAAUAUUGAAACAAAGUGAAACAGAGAUUCAAAUAUUGAAACAUAAUUUUGAAAACAGAGAUGAUAUGCUGAACAACUAAUAGUUGCAACAACCCUAAAUAUUUAGGUAACUAUGAAAGAUCAAUUAGGUCAAUUCUAAAUUGUCACUUCCUAUGAUAAUAAUAUCAUCCACAUAGACUAGGGCCCGCAAUGGCAUAAGAUUUGGUUGUAAAUCGGAUAAAAGCUUUAGAGGAUGUAAAACCAAGUUGAAGCAAGGAAGACAUAAACCUUUUAAACUAAGCUAGAGGGGCUUGUUUCAAGCCAUAUAAUGCUUAAAGUAGCUUGCACACUUGUUGUUUGUUUUGUUUUAAACUAGGUGAUUGCUGCAUAAACAUGUCUUCUUGCAAAACCUUGUUGAGAAAUGCAUUAUUAACAUCAAGGUGUCUAAUCUCCCAUUUUCUUGCUAAAGAAAAUAUAAGAGCAAUUUUAAUUGUAAUUGAUUUCACCACUAGGCUAAAGGUUUCAGCAAAAACAGAGUCAACUUGUUGAUGAAUUAGCCACUAAACAGAGCUUUGUAUUUAGAAAUUGAACCAUUAGGAUUUCUUUUGAUUUUGAAGACCCACUUGUAGCCAAUAACUUUCCUAUUAGGAGGUAAAUCUACAAGGGACCAAGUUUUAUUUUAAAGCAAGACAUCCUAUUCAUCUAACAUAGUAGUAUUCCAAUGAUUACAACUUAAGGUCUCAUUAAUAGAAAUGGUUUCACUUGUAGAUAGAUUAGUUGUAAUAUAGACUUCCGACUUAAAAAUCCCUCUUUUAGUAAGGAUGAAAAUAUCAGUUUUUACGGAUAUAUCGGUCAUUUGAUUUUAUGAACAUAUCGACGUAUAUCAGGAAAUAUCGAUAAAAUUUUUUGUACAAAAUAUCAAUGAUGUAAAAAUUGAUGAAAACUUAUGAAAAUAUUGGGAAAAGUAUAAAAAACGAUAUAAGAAAUAAUGAUAGGCAUAUUGGGGUUGUUUUGUUGAAAAAGUUAAUAUAUGUAUAAUAUAAUUUAUAAUAUUAAGCAAUAAUGUUUAAAACAUAUUUUAUAUACAUCUAAUCUAAUUUGGAUGUAUUUAAUGAGAUAGAAGAAAUGAUGUUACAUACAUAAGUAUUUUUUAUUAAAAUAUUGAUAAUUUUAUUUAUUAAUUUAUAUUUAUUUUGUAUUUUAUUAUUAUGUAAAUGACAUGAUAAUUAAAAUUUAUUUAUUUAUAAUAAUUGGAUUCUAAUUAAUUUAUGAUAUCUAUAUACACAAAUAUAUAUAUAUCAAUGUUUAAAUAUAUAUUAUAUUAUAAAAAUUAUAUAUUGCAUUCUUAAAUAUAAAUAUAUAUAAAAUAUCUCAUUUAUAAAUAUAUAUAUAUAUAUAUAUAUAUAUUUAUAAAUGAGAUAUUUUGUAAUAAUGCUCCACUACCUACUAACAUACAUCCUACGGUUACUCAUUCUAAAAGACAUGGUCCAAAAUGUUUGGGCCUAGUUCUUAGCCCAUUAUUUAAUAAUAAUAAUAUAUAUUAUUAAAUGAGAUAUUUAUAUUUAAGAAUGCAAUAUAUAAUGUUUAUAAUAUAAUAUAUAUUUAAACAUAGGUCCAUUAACCAUCAAUCUAAAAGUUGGUUGGGUGGCACUUUAAAAGUUGAAAUGCAAUUACAUAUCAUAAUAUAAUAACACCCAAAAUGUGUAUUUAAACUGAGAGUAACUCUCUUGUGCCAACCACAUCAAACUACACUAGGCUAGAUGUGGAGUGGGCAUAAUGGGCUAAGAACUAGGCCUAAACAUUUUGAACCAUGUCUUUUAGAAUGAGUAACCGUAGGAUGUAAGUUAGUAGGUAGUGGAGCAUUAUUACAAACUUGAAUAGAAUCAAACACAACAUGUGUAGGGUUUAAUGAUCCAUAUCUUUUAGAAUGAGUAACCAUAGGAUGUAAGUUAGUAGGGUAGUGGAGCAUUACUACAAACUAAAAUAGGCUUAGACAGAACAUGUUUGGGGUUUAAUGAAGAAUCAAGUUCCAAAGUUAAUACAGGUGAAAGGGAAGUAACAAGUGUUGUAGUAGGAGAUUCAAUAGGAUGGUGGAUAGGUUGGUGACUAGAUGAAAUCGGUACAAAUGAAAGGGAAACAAUAUAUAGGUGUUGUAGGAGAUUCAACAGGAUGGUGGGUAGGUUGGUGACUAGAUGAAAUUGGUAUAGGUAAAAGGGAAGCAAUAGGUGUUGGAAUGGGAGAUUCAAUAGGAUGGUGGAUACAGGUAACUAGAUGAAACUAAAGGUUGGGGUAUAGAGGAUGGGAGGGGAUGCAUUGUGUUGUCAAUGGUAGAUGAGGAAAAGUUUGGGUAGUUGGUUUUGAAGCAAAAAUAAAUGUAAAUUCAUCAAAUACAACAUGUCUUGAGAUGUAAAUUAUACCAUUAUGAGUUAAGAAAUGUGCAAGGAAAAUAAUGAUAUUGUAAUUUAUGAUUAUUGUAAGGUCUUAAGUGAGGAUAACAAGUACAACCAAACACCUUAAAGAAGUUAUAGUAAGGUUGAAUGUGAAACAAUACUUCGAACGGUGAUUUCUACUGCAAAAUUGUGUUAGGCAAUCUAUUAAUAAGAAAUACAACAAUGACAAAAGACUUAGACUAAAAAUUUUAAAGGUAAGGAGGCUUGAGCAAGAGUGUAAGUCCCAAUUCAACUAUGUGACGAUGUUUACGUUCAACUAGACCAUUUUGCUUAGAGGUACAGGGACAAGAAUGCCCAUGAAUGAUACCACAAGAGUUAAGGAAAAGGGUGAGACCUCUAAACUCAUCUCCUAUGUUGGUGUGUAAGAUUUUGAUUUUCUGAUGUAGUUGUAGUUCAUCAACUCAAGUCUUAAAAUGAAGGAAAGAUUGGUAUACAUCAUAUUUGCACCUAAGGAAACAUAUAUAUGUGUAUCGAGAGUAAACAUCAACAAAUGACACAUAAUAUUGAAAACAUUCAAAGAAAGAAUAGGAGCUAAACCCCUCACAUUAGCAACAAGUAAUUGAAGAGAUGUAGUGCAUUUGGUGCAAGAUUUAAGAAAAUAGAGUUUAUAACUUUUUCUAUUUGGCAAGCUGAACAAAUUAAAGGAAUUUUAUUGAAAUAAUGUAGUAUAUUGUAAAAAGUUAGCACUUGUUGUACUACUUUUUGAGUAGGAUGUCCAAGCCUUUUGUUCCACAAAUGAAUCAUAGAGUUAUUAAAUUUAGGGGAAAUUGAAUUUAGAUCUAGGCUUAAGAUCCUAGACUUUAUUGAAUAAUCGAUUUCAAAAUGUUGAAGAUGAAUGACAUUAAGUUGACUUGAAAAGGAAGAAGAAACUUUAGCACCACUAUGAUGAGUUGUGAGAUUGAAUCUAUACAAUGCAAAUUUCAUUUGGGAAGUGUUGAUCCCAUCACUUCAUCAUUCACAACAUAAAACAAGAGGUAAAAUUUGAAGAAAACAUGAUUAUCUUUAGCAAAUUAUGAGACACUAAGGAGGUUUUUGGUGAUUGAAGGAACAUGUAAAAUUUUUUUUAAGAUGAAAUUGAUUAGAAGAAAAUGUUGAAAGAGAAACUAUAGAAUGAUCGAUAUAUUUAAUAUGUAAACCUACUCUAUUCCUUACAUGUAACUUGUUCUUACCAUGGUACUCAUUCCAAAGUUCAAAUUAUUUAGGUCAUUUGUAAUGUGAUUCAUUGCGCCUAAAUCAAGAUACUGGUUGUCAUCAUUUACAAUAUUAAGAGUAGCAACUAUUACUGUCAUUGAGGAUGAUCCAGAAGCAUGAUUAUUAUUUAGUCCUGUAAGUGAGUUGUUGAGACGAUGGUAGUAUUUGUGUAUACUAUGUCGAGACUUUAUGCAUAGUUAUCAUUAUGGUUUCUAAUUCCCCUAGAUGGGUCCUCUACACAAAUAUUGUCAUAAUCUCGAUUGCAACCACAAUUGAUUUGAAAAUAUUUGUUUCCUCCUUGACCUCCUUGGAAGUGUUAAUUGUUUCCUUGACCACUAUGUGUAGAUAGAUUUAUAGAUGGCUAAGUGUUUGUGAAAGAGGUUGAAUUUUGUUUGGCCCUAUGCUCUUGAGCAUGUAAUAAGGAUGAAACAACUUUCAAGGAAUAUGAAUCUUCAUAGAAAGUAAUCACAACAACAACAAAAUUGUAUUAUAGACCAAGACCAGUUAAAAUUGUCAAAAUUUGAUCUUCCUUGGAAAUAUCAUGUUUGGAUGAUGCUAAUAUGUUUGAAUAGGUUUCCAUUUUAAUAAUGUAAUCUCUUAUUGAUAAACUACCUUUCUUUCGAUUCUACAACUUAAAUUUGUAUUGCAUUACCUUUGCCUUUAAUUGAAAAGAAAAAAUUUGUUCUACUAUUUUCCAAACUUCUCUAGCAGUGUCACAUCCAAUGAGUUGAGACAACAUUUUAGGGCUCAUUGAGGCUAAUAGCCAAGAAACAAGAAAAUUUUCUUGUUUUUCGAAAAUAGUAUACGUAGGAUUGAUUACUUUGGUUUCACAUUCCUCAAGAAAUUCUAAAAAGGGACCUGAUUCUAAAAUAAAAUUUGCUAGUCUAUAACCUUUGAUUGUACAAGAACUUGAUGUUUUCGAGAAAGAGAUAAUUUGUAUCAUCCAAUUUCACAGUAACAAGUUGACUAAGAGGAUUGGCUAUUUGAAUAGCAAUUCAAGGUAGCUUUGUUACUUCAAAUGAAGUGACAACGUUUGUGGAAAAGACUUUUGCCAUGACUAGGCUUCAAAGCUUUGACACCAUAUUAUAUUAUUAAAACAAAGAUAUCAGAAUAUCAUAAUAUCGAAACAGAUUGAAACAAAGAUUAUAUUCUAACAACUAACUAUUGCAAUGACACUAAAUACUAAGAAACUACAGAUAUUUCUAACAACUAGCAACUGAGUGGUUAUCUCCAAUAUUUCAUAAAUAUUUUUCAAUAAGGAAAUGACAAUCCAAAAAACCUAUUCUAUUUAUAAAGAUGAGUAAACACAAAUAGUAUAAUACAAUCUAAAAUUAUGGUAAUUGAAUAUAAAUAUGUGAUAAUUAGAAUAUUUUUAUUCAUAGUUGAAAAAAAUAUUUUUAUCAUGGUCGAGAAAAAGAGUGAGAAAAGAAAAAGGAAAGUGUUAGUAUUGACUUUAAAGGCAAACUAAAUGCAACAUAUUAUGGUUUGUUUCGCUUCAAAUAAACAAAAUAUUUUGAACACAAAAACCAAAUAAAUAAUUUUUACUUUUCAUCAAAUUUAGUCAAUAAAUUUUGAGAAGUUUGAAAAAUUAGCUCUAUUAUGUAGGACUUUGAGUUAUUUGUCCAUCUGUAUGUAUUUUUGGCUCACUCUAAAUUAAAAAAAUAGAGUUUGUUUGGCCGUGUGAUGUAAUUAUGUUUGUAAAACAUAUAAACUAUUUAAAAAAAAAAAUUAAUAUUGUUUGACAUUUGUUCUCUAAAAAUAUAUAUUUUUAAAACAAAGCGAAAUAGAGAAUAAUUUUUAGGAAAUAAGCAUGAGAUGUUUUCACCAAUUUUUAAAAACAAAAGGAAAAAUGGGCCCAUUUAGCCAUGUGUUUCUAAAACUUGUUUUUAAAAAUGUUUUUUAUUCUUUAAUUUAAAAACAGUUUUGAAAAACAAGUUUAAGAAAACAUGGUCAAACGGGUCCAUAGUUUAAAAAAUAAUAAUUUUUGGUAAUAAUUAAAAAAAAAUAGUUUUGAGAAUAUUUUUAUAAAUAAAGUUUUUGAUGUUUUCUAAAAUAUAAGUUUUUUGGAACUUCAAAUGUUUUAGGCCUAUUUUUUUAUAUUUUUUAUGAAGUGUUUUAUUUUUGAUAUUUCUAUAAUUACUUUUUUUAAAUAAUCUUUAGAAAAUAAAUAAAAAUAAUUAAAAUAUGUUUUUACCAUAUUUUGAGAACUAGUUCUCAUUUUUUUAUCAAAAAAAUUACUUAAAGUGCUUUUGAGUCUCAAAAAUAUGUUUUUUUUUUAAGAACAAAAACCAUUGCCAAACAGAUGUUUUAGGUUCAUACCUCAACAUCAAAGUUUAUAUAUAUCUAUAUAUAAAUUCAUUGAAUCAUUUUUUUUUUAAUCAUGUGAAUGCAAUUUUUGAAUGAUACACAGUGGGCAGAACUAACUUUGUUUAUUGGCUCAACACUUCUCUUUGAAAAGAAAAAUACUUAAAACAAUAUUAGGUUUAUUUGGUAACUGUUUUUAAAAAUAAUUCUAAAAACUGUUUUUGAGAACAAUUUUUGAAAAUUGUUUUUUUAAUGCUUUUUAAAACAAAAGUCUAUUUGGAACCUAAAAUACUUUUAAUUUAUUUUUAAUAAUUGUAAAUAUAUUUAAAAUGAUUUUUAUAUUUAGAACUUUAUUUUUAAUUAUUAUACAUGUUUAUAUAAUUAUUUUUUAAAACAGCUCUUAAAAAACAAGUAAAAACAAUUAAAAGAUGUUUUAUAAAAACACUAUAUUUUUUGUUCUUUGAGACAAAGAAACAAGUUGAGCUUUUCACACCACUGAAUUUAAAAAAAAAUAGAAUCAAAUUUUGAAUCAACCACCACAUGUUGUCUCCAUUAAAUAACUAAUGACUUUACUACGACUUGUCAAUGUGGAAAAAUUAACAUUCCAAGGAAGACUUAUAUAUUAUUUGGUUAGUACCCCUUUGUUUGAUCAUUUUUUCUAAAAGUUUAAGGAAUUUUUUUUACCAAAAAUAAUUAUAAAAUAUUAUCUGAAAACAUCAUGUUUUUUGUUCUUGAGAAUAGAAAAUAGAAAACAGUUUUUUGGUUGUCGAACUUGUUUUUUAGUUUUUUUGUUCUAAAAAAUAUAAAAUUGCUCUUGGAAACAAUUGUCAAAUAGAAUCUUAGUUUUUGUAAAAGUCAUCAAAUUAUGUCAAAUAAUAAUACUAGUUUCUAUAUAUAUAUAAAGUCAUCAAAUUAUGUCUUUGAUGUGAAUGCAAUUUCUACCCAAUAUCUCAUAGGGCAAACAUCGAUUCCAUGAAUUUAUUAUAAAAUUUAAUGUUAAUAAAUAAUAAUGUUUUUAUCUUUUCGAAAGAGAAGUGUGAACCUAAAGAAACAAGUUCAGCUCUUCACAUCGCACGUGUAUGUGAAUUUCAAAGAAAAUGGAAUCAAAUUUUGAACCAACCACCACAUUAUGUUGAACUAAUGACUUUACUACGGCUUAUUAACGUGGAAAAAUUAACAUUCCAAGGGGCCUCAUUAAUGAACCUAUACGUGUUUAUAUAUAUAUAUAUAUUGGUCAAUGAAUUUCGAGAAGUUUGAAAAAAACAUAUUGUAAUAAAGUAUUAUAACAAUGUAAGAAAACAAAGUUAGAUUACAUUUGAUGCAUUGCCCGAAGCUUCAUUUGAUACUUCCUAAAUAUUUCUUAAAUUUUUUAUCAUACAUUCCUGAUCUUAUGUGAUACAAGUUUUUGGUGUUUUUUUAUAUUAAAAGCCUUUGAACUUCAAAUGUUUCUACAAAAGUCAUCAAAUUAUGUCUUCGAUGUGAGUGCAAUUUCUAGCCAAGAUCUCAUAGGGCAAACAUCCAUUCCAUGAAUUUAAUUAUUAUAAACUUUAAUGUUAAUAAUGUUUUUAUCUUUUCGAAAGAGAAGUGUGAACCCGAAGAAACAAGUUCAGUUCUUCACACCGCACGUGUAUGCGAAUUUCAAAGAAAAUGGAAUCAAAUUUUGAACCAACCACCACAUGCUGUCUCCGUUAAACAACUGAUGAAUUUAGAAGUUGUCAUGGUGGAAAAAACAAUUUUCUUAAAAUUUAAGUUUACAAAAUUUCGGUAAAGCUUCGACUCAUAGUACAAAUAUGCACAAACGAGAUAGAGGUUUUGACAAAGAAAUUGGAUCGAGUAGAGGACAAUACUGCACAUUGCUAAAACACAAAUGGAUCUGUCCACUUCCAACCACGUUGCAGAUCAAGAUCAUGCUACCCAGACCCAGAUAUGGAACCCGGCUGCAGCUCAAUCUGAGAUCAUAGCCAUGGAUUCAAGUGUGUACAGGGCGGCAGCGAAGGGAAAUGUCCAUGUCCUCAAGCAAUUGUCAGAAGAUGAUCUUCAGAUCCAAUUAAGCCCAAAGCAUAAUUCAGUGCUCCAUAUCGCAGCCCAGUUUGAUCAACCAGAAUGUGUGAAUUGGAUCCUUACGUUACCUUCAUCUUCAUCUUUACUGCAACGGCCUAAUCUGAAAGGGGAUACUCCGCUUCACCUUGCAGCAAGGGAAGGGCAUUUGGAGGUCGUGAAAGCUCUUUUAGAGGCUGCAAAAGCACUUCCUAUGGAUAUUGAAAGUGGGGUUGGAGCAGAUAAAGCGUUGGUGAGAAUGAGAAACAAGGGGAAAGAUACAGCCUUGCACGAGGCUGUGCGGUAUCGUCAUUCUGAUGUGGUGAAGCUCUUGAUUAAGGUAGACCCUGAGUUUAUGUAUGGUGAAAACAUCUCUGGUGGGACUCCUCUUUACAUGGCUGCAGAGAGAGGAUUUUCUGAUUUGGUGGAAAUAAUCAUAGAAAAUACCUCUACUUCACCGGCUUACCAUGGCCUCAUGGGUAGAACGGCUUUGCAUGCUGCUGUCAUUCGCAAGGACAAAGGUAGUGUGCUUGGGAUCAAAGAUGGGAGCAAAACAAAAAGGCUUCUCAUUACAUUUUUAGUCUUCUGAAAUUAACUUAUACUUAUCUCUAAUGUUCAUUUAUUUAUUUGAUCAGUAAUGACUAAGAAGAUACUGGAAUGGAAGCCAGCACUAACCAAAGAAGUGGAUGAAAUUGGGUGGUCUCCACUUCACUGUGCUGCAUACCUAGGUUGUAGUCCAACAAUAGUGAGAGAAUUGCUACAGAAAUCAGAUAAGUCAGUACCUUACCUUGGAAUCAAAGACGGCAACAAAACAGCCCUUCAUAUUGCAGCUAACCGUGGGCAUAUGAAGAUAGUAGAGUUGCUGGCAUCACAUUCUCCAGAUUGUUGCGAGCAGGUCGAUGAUAAGGGUAACAAUGUUUUUCACUUUGCCAUGUUGAAGAGACGAUGGUUGGCUACGGGUAAUCUCUUAUAUAAUAGUUGGCUAGGAGUUAGAGGAGUUGUGAAUGAGAAAAAUGGUGAAGGAGACACUCCUUUCCACCUGAUCUCGUCUUACCAAAUUGAUGACCCAACGUUCAUAUGUAACCUUGGAGUGGAUAAGAUGGCUUUCAACAAUCAAAACUUCACGGGUAUGGACAUACUUUCAAGGGCCAAUGACAUUUGUGGAAGAAGGGUACGUAAGCUGGCUUUCUAUUAUCACUUAGUCUAUUUGUUUAUCAUUUUAGUCAAAAUAUAACAACAAUGGAAUCAAUCCACUUCAAAGAUAAUGGGUUGGGAUGAAGACAAGCUGGACAAAAGUACUAAUAGCUAGAAUGAUUUAAGUAAGAAUGUUUGUAAAUUAAUCCAAUUCAACACCUUCCAUCUUCAUAAAGUUCGUGUCCUUUCAUUAUUGUUGAUAUAUAAUAAGGUGUUAAGCGGCUCAAACUAUAGCACAUGCACUAUAUUUGGCUUCAUGAAUGCUUGUUCCUUUGAUAAGGCCACAGGGCUAAAUGUUCCCUUUUUUAUUCUUCCUUUUUUUUUCUUUUCUUUUUUUUGUAAAAGUUGUUUAUACAUUUAUAUAUCACCAACUUGCAGGAUUUUGUCCUACGAAGAUUUUACCGAUUUAAAGAAGCGUAUGUUGGACCUUUGUGGUGGCGGGAGGAAAUAAAGGAAGACGAUGGUAGUAGUGAAGGCAAAGGCAAAGGCAAUGAAGGGGACAAAGGCAUUAAUAUUAAAAACGGAUCUUCUGACUUCUCAAAAGUCAUUCAGAGAAGAGGUGAAAACCAUCUGAUAGUGGCAGCACUCAUAGCAACCGUAACCUUUGCGGCGGGUUUCACCUUGCCUGGUGGCUACAAUGUCAAUGAGGGCACGGCAACUCUAGCAAAGAAAACAGCUUUCAAAGCAUUUGUGGUGAUGGAUACCCUAGCCAUGGUGCUCUCAGUGUCUGCUAUAUUCAUUUUCUUUUUUAUGUCAUGGCAUGUGAAGAAGGCGUCUCUGAACAAACACAUAAUCCCUGGCUUCUUCCUCACCAUGUUGGCAAUGGGGGCAAUGGUGAUGGCCUUCAUGACAGGUUUAUACGCUGUGCUACCUGAAUCCUCAUGGCUUCCAUUAUUCACUUGCAUCAUUUGCUGCUCCUUUUUUCUCUCCCUUUAUUUUGAACUUAAUGUACUUUUGAAAGGGUAUAAAGUGAUGUUUUACUUCAAGAAGAAAUACAAGCUUGGGAAGGCUUCCCAUUGAUUGUAUUUUUGAAUAAUGAUGAAGGCAAUAACGUAUCUAUUUGAGAAAAUUAUGUGAAGAUGUAAUUGAAUGAAAAUUUUAUACAAAAUUUGAUUGGACUUUUUCUUUUUCACUUUAUUUCAGAUAAAUUAAUCUCAUUUUAUUAUUGCAAUGUUUGGUAGGUUAACUAAUUCAUUUUUUAGAUCUAAUUAAGGUGUGUAAUGGUCUGCUCCUAACUAUGUACAUAUUGCCCGUUUUGAAUCCAAAGAGGCCCUCACUACUUUAAAACGUGUAUACAGGGUUAAGAAGAGUUUAUACUAGCAUAAAAAACUUCCUCCCUAUCCAAUGUGGGAUGUCACAAACACCCCAUUCUCCCCCACCAUCCCAUGUAGACACAACGUCCUCAUUAUGUUCCAUGGGAUUGUGGGGCCAAAUAAACAAAUACCCUUUAUGGGACCAAACAAAUGCCCACAUUAGAGUCGAGGAUCGCCCCUGAUACCAUUUGUUGGAGAAUCACAAAUCAUACAAAAUGAUUAUAGAAACUGAUCAUUUAGAUAAUAAAUAUGUCAAAAUCUCAUGCUAAAUCUAUUGGAUAAUAAUGUCGGAAGACAUACUUGAAUCCAUUGAGAUUAUGUACUUGAGUCUUGUUUUUGCACGUUUGAAAUGAGUAUUGCAGCCUCAAAUCACUCAUUGAUGGGAUGUGAAUAAUAAAUAAUUUUUUCUAUCUCCUCGUUUAGACUGGGAAUCAUAACCCUAUUUAUAUCCCUUAUUAUUUUAUUUUAUUUUAUUUAUUAACUCAUCAUUAAUAAAUAAAAUAAAAUUGGUCUCUACACAUUGCAAAACCCAUAUAGUCUAUAUAUAUAAAGAGAUGCUUUAAAGGCUCAUCAUUAACUUAAUUGAUCUACUUAGACCAAAAAAAUAAAAUAGCUUAAUGUACAAUGUGUUAAUAUAUAGGCUCAUAAUUACUAAAAUAUCCAAGAGGGUGCACUCCAUCCCAUCAUCCAUACAAAUCACUGUAUUUUCCACUAACUUUACUUUCAACUUUAUUUUGAAAUUCUUUAAAUUUUCUCAAAAUUUCUUAUUUUCACUUCAUAAAAGACACCAAUACAUACUUAGUGAGAAAUUAAUUAUUGAUGAAGGCCACCAUGUAGCACAUUCGUUAAUUAAUGUUGGUUUUAUUAAUAUUGGACCAAAACCACUUAAAUAAUAAAGGGAUAUUUGGUUAAAAGGGUUCAAAUAUUCUUGAAAUCAGAAAUAUGACUUCGUAAAUCAUUUCUUUUUUAGAGAAAUAGCCUAGCUUAGAUAUUUUUAUCCUUCUUUAUUUCCUUUAAAAAUAUCAUUUCCCUUUCAUCUCUAGCCCCUAUCCCUUCCAUUUUUUUUGAUACCUAGCUUUCGUCCUCUCUCUAAGUUCAUGUUCUCUUUCUUUUUUAGUAAACUCCAAACCCUAAAACAGAGAUCAUUGGAUAAAACAAAUAUUAGAGCCUUCUCCAUUCAAAAGUUGAUUAUAACUCAAACUUAACACUUGGAUAGCUUUAAAGAGCUUAUUGUUGCAUGUUUGAGGCACUCAUACUACUAAUACAUCUUAUUGUCACUAGUAUCUUAGAGAAAUAUUUUUGAUGCAUUUUGUGAGAAUUUUGUAGAUUUUAAGACAUUUUUAACCAUCAAAUCUUUCCUAGGAAAUGACAAAGAAAGAAAGCCCAAUUAAGGUAGAAUAUAGAGAUUGUGCACCUCUUAACUACGCAGAACCUCCAUAGUGCACUUGCUUGAGCACAAUCCUAUUUUGUGCACUUUGAAAGCGCAAGGUAAAUUGUGCAUCCUAGGGGUACCAAUCUGAAUAGCAUACUCAGAGAGGCAUACUUUCUUAACACACCUUUGAGUGAUUGCUUACAUUGCACCUUUAGAAAAGCCAUUUACAUUGUGUAGUUGUGGCACACGAUUUGAGUUGUGCCCCAUGAGUGUGUUCUUUUGGUGCACUUUGAUGACUAAGUGUUUGCCUCUCAAGCACACAUUUCAAGUGCGGUAAAUAAGAUUAUGCACCCUACUUAGGCACCUCUACAUUUAUGCACCCUUUAAGUGUGUUAAACCAGGAAGCACACUUUCUCUACCUCAACCAACAAACUUCCCACAUAGUGUUCCUCUUUAGGACCUUAACACUUCCCUCAUUAAAGACAAAGUGCACUUAUGGCUGCACCAACACCAUUAGGUCUUCAACAUGGGCGUGAGGCAAUUCUAGACAAGGUGUCAUUAGAACAUUUGGACAAAGGGGAUUUUUGCCUAUAAAAGAGGGAUUAUGAAUAUACAAGUAGAAGGAGAUGAUGGAUAGGGAAUAUGUUAGAUAGUUGUGUUAGAAUAGAGCCCUUAAAGGCAUGACGUGAUGUAACAUAUUUGGAAUUUAUUGUUUAUUUAAUGAUAUUCUGGUUUCACUUUUAUUUAUCCUUAUUCCAUGCAUUAUACUUUAUGAACAUUCUUGCUUAACAUAUUUUGGAUUGUACAUGACUUUGGUGUAUUAGGAGUUGCAUGGAAGAUCUAAGUCAUGGGUUCCUUACAAAUAGAUGAUUUGUUAAUAAUCAGUUCAUGAAUAUAAACCAUAUAUUUGAGGUUGUAGUACACUACCUCCCAAUUAGAAGGAUGGUUGGUCUUGACUAUUAAGACAGGGUUCCCAUGGCGAGUACAGUAGUAUGUAUGAUAACACAUUGGACAAAACCUAUGGUGAAUCACGACGUAAGGCUAUUGGGCAGUUAUGACUUCACCAAGCUACUAUACUGUACUAUUUCUCAACCUUAAGAAAAUAUUAUAGUUUGCAGUGGCUUUGACUUACAACUGAUAUCCUAAAGUAAUCAUAUAGAUUGGAUCAUUGUUGAUGGAGACCAGUAGCAUAAAACAUUCUCAAUAAAGGCACCAUGAUAUUUCAUGGACUUUGAGAUAGUAUUGUCUCCUUUUAGGUGAUCUUAAGAGCUUGUAAUCAUGAAAUCUAUGGUGUCAUAGUAAUUCCUUUGAUUCCCUUAAAUGCAUAAGAGCAUUUUAAUAAAUGUGCAAGGUUGCACAAAAGUUAAUGAAUGGUAUCUCUAUAUUGGACUAAUUGAUUAAUCGAAACUUUAUUGGAUUAAUUAAUUAAUUAGAACCCUUUUUGGAUUAGAUUAGGUGAUCAAAGCCCAAGAUGGGUUCAAGUCACUUAAACCCAAUGGAGAACCUGUAAAUAUCCCCUUAGGGGUUAGGGAUUUAGAUUUUUAGCUACUUCUCUCUUAAGUCUAGGGAGAAAACCUUAGCUUAGUUUUUUAGUCACCACCCCAAAGAUUUCCACCAUCUCAAUGUCUUGAUUUAAGGAGUCAUCGAGUAGAAGAUCAGUGGUUUGUGAGACUUCCAAUUAUUAAUGUGGUAUUUUAUUAUGCUCUUCAUUACAAGGAAUUGGUUUGGGAACAUUUAAAUCUUAGGUAUAUAACUUUAACUCUAAAUCUAAAAAAUAGUAUGGUUUCUAUUGCCAUAUUAUUCAGCUAUAAUAUAUCUAGAGAGUCUAGGAUGAGAUUGCAUGUAUCCUACGAGAUUUAGGACUAGUGAACAGAGUAAUCUGGUUUUCGCUAUAAGUCAUUCUUAGGAGUAGAAGUAAUUUAGUUUUGGUUGUAAUCUUGCAUUUAUUUUUUAUUUUCUUUUGUAAUCUUUCCUAGUUUUUAUGUUUAAUGAACUUUCAACCCUUUAAUUUCAGUAUUCUAAUUUCAACUUGCAAAUUAACAUUUCCAAUUCUUUACUAGUUUCAACAUGUGUAGGUAGUCUUUACACUCCAAGGGGUGAGAAGAGCUAAGGUUUCCCAUUUCCCAAAUUUGCUCACCAAUGAUUUGAUUAUGCAUAAUUUAAAAGAAUAUACCUUUCAUCAGUGGUUGAAUGACCAAAAGAAGUAACCAUGAGAAUAAUGUUGUAUUGGUUGUGAGGGUUGCAAGUCAAGCAACCCUACUUAAUUGAAAUUAUUAAUUGAUUUAAAAAAAAAAAACCUAUAAGCAUUGUGAAUUCAUAUUGCUACUUUAUUUGACUUCUAAAGUUGGUUUAUAACAUUGAAGAUGCUAAGAAUACAAUAUGAUAACCCACAAAUGUCAGUUUCGUUAAAAAAAAAAAAAUCCAAUAUUUUGCAAAUUGGAUAUGUCAAAAUAUACCAUAAUGUUAAUAUACUUGUAUUAUAAUUAUAAUGCAUUUGUAUCUUACCUAUAUUUUAUAACAAAAGUAACAGUUUUACAGAAACAUUUAUAUAACUAAUUGACAUCCAACAUAUCAUACCGGUGCAGUACUCAUACAACAUAUUGAUCGGUCAUCACCUUAUCAAUUUGAGUUAAGUUUGAGUUUUUUUUUGGACCGCACCUAUAUCGAUCGGUCAUCUUCUUAUCAGUUUGAGUUUAAGUUUUUGGGACCGCAACUAUAUCAAUAUGUCAUCACCUUAUCAGUCUGAGUUGAGUUUGAGUUUUUUUGGGAUUGCACCUAUAUCGAUCGGUCAUCUUCUUAUCAGUUUGAGUUUGAGCUUUCGGGACUGCACCUAUAUCGAUCGGUUAUCUUCUUAUCAGUUUGAGUUUGAGUUUUUGGGACUGCACCUAUAUCGAUCGGUCAUCACCUUGUCAGUCUGAGUUGAGUUUGAGUUUUUUUUUUGGGACCGCACCUAUAUCAAUCAGUCAUCUUCUUAUCAGUUUGAGUUUUAGUUUGAGUUUUCGGGACCGCACCUAUAUCAAUCGGUCAUUCAUUUUCCAUGUCAGUUUGAGUUUAGUUAGAGUUUUCGUUCCAUGUUAAUUUGAGUUCAGUAUGAGUUUUUCAAGACCGCACCUAUAUCGAUCAGUCAUUCAUUUGUCUUGUCAGUUCAGUUUGAGUUAAGGCCGCACCUAUAUCGAUCGACCAUUUUCCCAUUAGUUUAAGUUUCGAGACCGCAACUAUAUUGAUCGGUCAUUCAUUUUUUUUGUCAGUUUGAGUUGAGUUUUUUGGAGUCACACCUGUAUUAAUCAAUCAUCGUCUUGUCAGUUUGAGUUUGAGUUUUUGGGACCACACCUAUAUUGAUCGGUCAUUCAUCUUGUCGGUUUGAGAUUUCAGUUUUUGGGACCGCACCUAUAUUGAUCGGUCAUUGUCCAUGUCAGUUUGAGUUUAUGUUUUUUGGAACCGCAUCUAUAUCAAUCGGUCAUUGUCUUAUCAGUUGAGUUAAGUCUGUUCGGUCUUGAGCCACACUCUAUCCUCUCGAUCUUUGAGUUCACGACACAUAUUUCGGUCAUGUUGUUGGGCACCCUACGCUUAACGUUUUCAUGUGGUUCAUAUAGUCGUUCUCUUUGAAUGCAUUCUUUCCUGUACUCUAAGGUGGUUCGACCGUUACUCAUCUUUGACAUUGACCUACGAGUCACUUUUGGAGACGUCUUAAGGGGAGCUUGAGUCUUAAGUGCAGCUUUAGAGGCGCUUUGAGAUAUGUUUUUCUCUUAGGAUUAGAGCCCUUUUGUUCAUCUGUUGGCCUAAGUGAGUUCGUGUUUUACUAGUGUCCCUUUGAGGGUCUCCUUUGUUCUUCGGUAGAGUUCAUUUCAUUCCACUCACUAUUCACACUCACUUUUCACUUCAGUGUUCAUAUUCCUUGCACUCGUGAGCUCUACCGAAGAGGGGCAUAUUUGUAGACCUCCAUUUUGGGGGCUCAUUUUUCUCACUUUUCUACAGGUUUUUCUUACCAGAUGGAGGGCUCUCAAGGAGCCACGUGUCACCUUGUGGUUAGCUACUAGGGUAUCAUGUUAGUGGUUUGAAGAAGCAAUAGGGAAGGGACACGUAUUAGGGAAUAUUUAGCAAAAGAGCGUAUUUUUUGUUAUAGGGACAGUGAGGCUGUUAAGGAGGGAAGUGACUUGGUUGCUGGUUAAAGAGAUAUUUUGGGAUAGCUUGGAGGGCAAGAUAGGAGAAGACAUGAAAAGGAGGAAAGGGUAUUGAGAGAGGAUGAGAGGGAGUUUUCUAAGAGCUAGACGGGAUUUUCUGGUGAAAAGCUUGAGAAGAUUAGUUGAGCAAGGGAAUGGGUUUGAUGGGAUUUUGAUGUAAGACUAGAGAAAGAAGGUAGAGAGUUGGGUGAGGUGCAUUUCAAAGGAGAAAAACCAGAGAAAGAGAGAGUUGCAAACAAGCUAGAGAGAGGAAGAAAAUGAGCUUGAAAGGGGAAUAGCACAGAUCUGAUUUCUAUCAGAUGGAUUCCUUUGUUUUCAUACCAUUUUGUUAUGUUUUCCGAGAAUAAUAGGAUUUUUAUUUUGAUGAUUGGAUGUGAAUAUUGGAGACUUUUGCAUGCUUUUGUGGAAUUUGAGCUUGCUUGCCCUCACUAUACGCUUGAUUUCUAACCUGUUUUCUUGGCUUUAUUUUUGGCAUUCAUGUCUUGAUUUUUGCUUUGAAACCCAUUUGAGAUCCAUUUUGGCCCACCCCCAACAUCUAAGCCUGUUGAUUAAUACAUGAAACGAGGCUUACAUGGGUUCAUUUUGUUCCUAUUAUUCGUGCUCUAUUUUUCUAUUUUCCCCUGUUCCUGGUACCUAUUCAGAGGGUGACACAGUUUUCUCAUCUGUGCCUGAGAGAGUAAGGGACUACAAGGGGUGUAUUCCCAGUCCGUGGGUAUGAAAAGUUGUUCCACAGCCCGAGUCCAAGUAAGGAAAGUCAUUGAAAGCUUCUAUUAGGAAGUGUCUUCGCCGUGGUAAUCUUGGAGACUCUCAGGAUACAGAUUAUGGGGUAGAAAAGCUACAUGGAUGCUCAAUACUCUGGUGAAAUUGGUAUUGGUACCCUCCUCUCUCUCUCAAACGUUCACGGUAAUCUUUGACACUACUGGCUCAAACCUGUGGGUUCCAUCAUCCAAGUGCUAUUUCUCGGUUCCUUGCUGUUUCCAUUCAAAGUACAAGCAAUGCUAAUCAAAUACCCAUUGGAAGAAUGGAAAAUCUGCUGAUAUCCAUUAUGGUACCUGAGCUAUCUCAGGUUUCUUUAGUCAAGAAAACGUGAAAGUUGGUGUUCUUGCUGUGAAGAAUCAGGAAUUUAUUUGAGGUAACUAGAGAGCCCAGUGUCACAUUUUUGGUGGCUAAGUUUGGGAGGUAUAUGAGGAUGGAUUUCAAGAGAUUCCAGUUGGUAAUGUCGUCUCAGUGUGAUGCAACAUGGUGAAACAACUGGGUAUUGUGCUGGGAGGUUGUGCAGCAAUUGCAGAUGUUAAGAAUCAGAAGAACCUGAAACUGAUGAAAAACACCAAGAAACAGAGGAUGCAAAAGAAAAUGGAUUGCAGAAAAAACUAACUAAAAAAUUACAUCAGACUUGAGUCCUAUUUAUAAUACAUCAAUGACACAAUAACAAAGUAAAAAAAAAAAAAACUGAAAUAACAACUUUUCUAACUAACUCUUCUCAUCUAACUUGCUUUCUAUUUUAAUUCUUUCUUCUUUCCUUUUUAGUUUCAUGCUUUCAAUAUGAGAUGCAACACUCCAACACCCCCCUCAAGAGGAACAUGGAUGUUAAUGAUGUUCAUCUUGCAAAGAUUGUGAUGAAAAGGUAAAGAACCGAGAGGCUUUGUAAAGAUAUCUGCGAGCUGUAAUCAUGAUGGAAUAUGGAAGAGCUUAAUAACAUGUUGCUGCAAUUUUUCACGAAUAAGAUGGCAAUCAAUCUGGAUAUGCUUUGUUCUCUCGUGCUGAAUUGGAUUUGUGGCGAUGGACAUUGCUGAUUUACUGUCAGUGUAUAGUAAAGCUGACUGUGAAUGUUUGAUAUCCAGGUCUUGUAAGGCAUACAAAAGCCAUUGAAUUUCACAAGUGGUAGUUGCAAGGGCUCAGUACUUUGCCUCUGCAGAGGAUCGACUAACUAUAACUUGUUUCUUUGAUUUCCAUGAAAUCAAUAUGUUGCCAAGAAAAAUUGCAAAACCAGUGACACUCUUUCUAGUAUCGACACAGCCUGCCCAAUCACUAUCGAAAAAUCCUUUAAUUGAAAAUCUGAGGAAAAAGGAAAAAAGAGACCUUGCCCUGGUGUGGCCUUUAGAUACCUCAGUACUCGAAUGGCUGCUUGAUGGUGACUAACAACAGGUUUUGCUAAAAAUUGGCAGAGUACUAGUACAAAAUAGGCUAAGUCAGGCCUAGUGAGAGUUAAAUAAAGUAAUCUGCCAAUGAGUCUUCGAUAACCUGAUGGAUCUUCAUAGAAAUUGGUAUCAUUUGCUGAUAACUUGAGGGUAGAUUCCAUAGGGAAGGCAGCAGGUUUGGAUCUAGUUAAACCAGUGUCUUCAAGUAUGUCAAGUAUAUACUUUCGUUGGCAUAAGGAGAUACCAGUCUUGGACCUUGCAACUUCCAAGCCAAGAAAGUAUUUUAGUGGGCCUAAGUCCUUAAUAGUGAACUUGGCAUCUAAAAAGGUAUUCAACCUUUCAAUUUCCAGAAUGUUAUCACUUGCCAAUAGCACAUCAUCCACAUAGACUAAUAAGGCCAUAAAAGAACUUUCGGAUUUCUUAAUGAACAGAGAACAGUCAGAAUUACCUUGAAUAAAUCCAUAGGAAAGAAGGGUCUGGGAUAGUUUGGCAUACCAUUGCCUGGAAGCUUGCUUCAAGCCAUAGAGGCUCUUUAAAAGAUGACAAACUUUCUGUUCACCUUGGACAGCCAACCUAGGAGGCAAUUCCAUGUAUACCUCUUCAUGUAAAUCACCAUGUAAAAAUGCAUUAUUGACAUCUAGUUGAUGAAGAUGCCACUGUUUGACGGCAGCCAUAGCAAGUAGUAAGCGAAUGGAUGUAAUCUUGGCCACAGGAGAGAAAGUAUCAAAGAAAUCAAGGCCUUCUUGCUGAGUAUACCCUUUUGCCACCAAUUUAGCUUUAUGUCUUUCUAUAGUUCCAUCAACUUUAUAUUUCACUUUGAAUACCCAUUUACAACCAAUAGUCCUUUUAUUUUUAGGAAGAGUAACAAGCUCCCAAGUUUUAUUUAACUCUAAAGCAGUAAGUUCAUGUUGCAUGGUAGUUUGCCAUUCAGGGAGGCGAGAAGCUUGGGUGUAUGAUUUGGGUUCUAGAGAGUUUGUGAUAGAGGUGAGAAAAGCUUUAUGGGAUGUAGACAGUCUAAUAGUAGAAAGAAAAUGGUGAAGAGAAUAGAAAUUACCUUUAGUGGGAGAACAGUCAAUUGAAGUAGAUGUCUGAGUUGCAUUUUGAGAAGAAGAGACAUUACCACAAUAAUAGUCCUGCAGAUAUAAAGGUUUUUGUUCAAUUCUAGUUGAUUUUCUGAGCUGUAGGACUUUAGGGUAAGUUGAAUCCAGAUGAGAUGGAGAGGGAAAUGUAGGUGAGUUGGAUUCAAGAAGGGCAGGAGGUUCAGAGAGAGAAGGAGAAUUAUUAGGUGGUGAUGCAGAUCCCACAUUAUGAUAGGAAUUGAAGAAGGAGGUGGUAGAAGGUGAAUUUGAAAAGGAUUGUGAAAGAGGAAACAUAAAAGAAUGAGUUUCAGGAUGUUGGGGCAACACUUGGAAAGGAAAAAUUGUUUCAUGGAAUAUGACAUUCCGAGAAACAAGGAUCUUAUUGGUGUUUAGAUCCAUGAGUUUAUAACCCUUAAUAUCAGAAGGAUAUCCUAGGAAGAUGCACUUUGUGGCUCGUGAAUCAAAUUUUUGUCUAUGACUAGUUAAAGUGGAUGCAAAACAAAGGUAGCCAAAAACUCUUAAAUGAGAAAGGUUAGGUGUUUUGUUAAAAAUCAUUUCAAAAGGGGUUUUAUUUUGAAGUAGAGGAGUGGGAAUUCUAUUAAUUAUGUGGGCAGCAGUAAGCACACAGUCACUCCAAAAAAUUAAUGGUAGAUUUGCUUGAAACAUUAAGGCUCUAGCAGUGCUUAGUAGAUGUUGAUGUUUUCUCUCCACAACACCAUUUUGUUGAGGAGUUUUGACACAACUUCUCUGAUGCAAAAUACCAUAUUUAUGAUAGAAUUUUGUAAGUAAGAAUUCUGGUCCAUUAUCAGACCUUAUAGCUUUGACAGAAGAAGAAAAUUGGUUUGCUACCAUUUUACAGAAAGUUUUGAUUAAAGAUGGCACUUCUGAUUUAGCUUUAAUCAUGUAUACCCAAGUACACCUUGUGAAGUCAUCGACUAUAGUUAAAAAAUAUCGAAAAACCAGAAUAAGAAGUAGUGCCAAAGGUACCCCAUAUAUCACAAACAUUUGUAUGAUCAAGAGUGAUAGCAGAGUCAAUCUGUUUGAGGAAAUGGAAUCUUGAACUAGAUACAUCUCCUAAUCUACAAUGCCAUAUAUCUAAGUGUUUGUGAAUAGAGGACAAAGCAAGAGGAGCAUAAUUAAACUGAAAUGAAUUGCAGGUUUUAGCUUGUGAUGAAGUUGGAAUCAGAUGGUAAAGUCUUUCUUUUUCAAGAACAAUCCCAAUCAUCUUCUCCAUUGACUAGUCCUAUAAAAGGCAAUGAGAAACAAUAAAGGUAAGAGAAAGAUUAGAUUGUUUAGUGAGUUUGGAAACGGAUAAUAGAUUGAAUGAAAAAUGAGGAACAAACAGGACAUUAUGUAAAAAUAAGGAAUCUGAGAGACAUACAGUACCAAUGUGUGUGGCUGGAACUGUAGUACCAUUAGGAAGAUUGAUGGAUGCAUUAAUUGGUUUAGGUGUAGAAUGGUAUAAAAGUGGUGAACAAAUCAUAUGGUCUGUUGCACCCGUAUCAAGAAGCCAAUAUGAAGUGGAAUUUGGCUUAGAAGUAACAAAAUUACAAGAAAAAAUUGGUUUAAGUGUAGGUUGAACUUUACCAGAAAAGUGAGAGGUGGUGACAAGGUUAACAGCUGGUUGGACAUUAUUCUGAUUGGAAGAAUUGGGUUGAACUGAAUUUGCAAGCGCCACUAGUUUAUGAAAUUCCUCUGGAGUGAAACAAAACUUUUGUUGCUCAUUGCUAUUUUGAUUGGGAACCUCUGGAGUAGUAAUGGCAGCAUGAGCAGAAGCCAUAUUUCUUUUUCCUUUUGGUCCAUUCCAGCCAGGGGGAUAACCAUGAAGUUGAAAACAUUUGUCCACUGUGUGACCAUUAUAGCCACAAUGAGUACAGUGUAGGGCAGAUUUCUUUGGUUUGUCCUUGAAAGAUUGUGGCUGGUAUCUCUGCUGAUUAGAUUGCUUUGCCAUCAAAGCAUGAGUCUCAUUAUAUGUAGCAGAAUUUGUGAGUUGCCUCUAACUUUCUUCUUGAAGCAGUAGAGAGAAAACCUUGGACAUGUUUGGUAAUGGAACCAUUAGUAGCAAUUGGCUUCUGAUAGAGGCAUAAGAAUCAUUUAACCCCACCAAGAAUUUGAGUACAUAAUCAGAUUGCUGUCUGAUUUGUAGAAAGUUGAAAAGUUCACAAGUGCAUGUUGCCAUCUUGCCACAAGUGCAUGUUGGAAAUGGCAUAUAGCUAAUGUACUCAUCCCAAAAGGUCUUAAAGGUACUGAAAUAUUCAGUAACAGACAAAGCACCUUGACUGAUGCAACUCAAAGAUUUCUCAAGUUGGAAAACCCUUGGUCCAUCACUCCUGAGAUAUCUUACUUUAAGCUCAGUCCAAAGAUCAACAGCAGAUACCACAAACAGCAAGCUAUUUCGUAUUUCUUUUGAAAUGGAAUUCAUCAACCAAGAAAGAACCAGAUUAUUUGCCCUUAACCAGGUUGUGUGUUUAACAAGCUGAUCAAUAGAGGGAGAAACAAUUGAACCAUCUAUAAAUUGUACCUUGUUUUUGACUGUCAAUGCAAUGACUAUCGAAUGACUCCAUGCAACAUAGUUUUCUCCAUUGAAGAUUUCUGAUACUAACAAAGCACUAGGAUUGUCGCUUGGAUGUAGGUAAUACGGACUCGAUGAGUCAUCUGAAGGAUUGAUAAGAGGCUGAUUAAAAGAAUUAGAUGAAGAAGGAUGCACAGGAGAGGGAUUGACAAGAGGAGAAUCACCAAAACUCAUUUUCAAGAAUUUAUUCAAGAAAAUGCAAGAAGCUGGAAGACAAUCAAUGUAAGAAUUCCAUAGCAGAAUUUCGCAAGGCAGAAGUUGAGAAGAAAUUGAUUGAUUUAGGUUGCGGAAGCUUUAGGGUUUGGCUCUGAUACCAUGUUGAGAAUCAGAAGAACCUGAAACUGAUGAAAAACACCAAGAAACAGAGGAUGCAAAAGAAAUGGAUUGCAGAAAAAACUAACUAAAAAAUUACAUCAGACUUGAGUCCUAUUUAUAAUACAUCAAUGACACAAUAACAAAGUAAAAAUAAAAUAAACUGAAAUAACAACUUUUCUAACUAACUCUUCUCAUCUAACUUGCUUUCUAUUUUAAGUCUUUCUUCUUUCCUUUUUAGUUCCAUGCUUUCAAUAUGAGAUUGCAACACUCCAACAGCAGAUUUUGGAACUUCUUUGUUGGCAGGCCUAACAGCCGCUGUCGUUAUGAUAUAGUCAUACCAUUGGAGCCACCAGAGUUAUUAGCCAAGCAUGUAAGGCUGUAGUUGCACGGUGGGCAAACAAUCAUGGAUUUACUGCUAUUAGAGGCAUCACCCCUGAAGAUUUGCUUGCAAAUUGGGUUGGGCACCUUUAAUGAGACUCGUGGUGUUGACAUGGGCAUUGAGGGUGUUGUGGAUGAGGAGCAAUUUGAUGAUGCUAGUCAUGGGUUGAAGCAGCUGCAUGCUCUCGGUUACCCUCCCACUUUUGCAUGGCCAUGCAUGGCCCCACCAAGCCUUUGCAAAGCUUUCCAACUUCAUACUCCACCAUACUCAUCACUGUUCAUGCUCACUAACCUCCACUACCCAUUCCACAUAUCUCAUGUCCAAUCCUCCUACACCAUUCAUAACCCCCCUGCGUAUCACUAUUUCUUUAGUACCCACUAACCCAUUUCAUCCUUCAUCCUUGAUCCAUCAUACCCUCCAUCAAACCCAUCACUACACUCUCACCUUGAACCGCAUUCACAUGUCCAAUUACCAGCUGCCACUACUCAUUUCCCACUCAUGCACGCAAGAAUUAUGCAUCCAUGUCUGUCCUUCAACACCACGUACCCUUCAUACCCAUCUCCCUAACCACACCACUAAACCCACUUCUUUCUCUAAGUCUUCAUCCUUCAUUACCCAUUAUCUCCACUGUCAAACCCAUAUCUCAAGCCAAUCUUCUUCAUGUCCAACAUCUCAGGACAAACCCACCAUUCGGCCAUCCUUGAUGUUCAUCAACUCACCACCAUGCUCCUCAUUUCCGUCCCAUAUUCUGGAUUGCCUUCAGGCAACGAGGUCCAUAACUAUUUAGUUCAAGGUGAUGAUCCAUAACCCUUCGUCACUGUGAUGGUCAAUGACCGAAAUGGAGGAACAGAGCAGUUGUGGAGCUUAAACAAUUCAUCAAUGGCAGCCAGGAGUGAGCAUGCAGUGGAUAACCUAGAUGCAGUGGUUUCAAUGGCAGACAGAGCGUUCGGAACAGCACAGAAAGAAAAUUAAGUUAUUUCUUGUGUGGAAUGGGUAAUAGGUUAUGUUUUGUUUUUAAAAAAUUUGAGAGAAAAUGUAAAAGAAAGAAAACAAAAAGAAAAAAAAAAAAAUAAAUAAAUAAAUUAUUUAAAUUUAAUAAAUUAUUUCCAUUCACUUUUUUAAACUCAUUUGACUUAUUUUUCAUAUUAUAAUAAAAUUAAAUAAUUUUAAAAUAUAUAAAUUUUAAAUUAAUUUUAAUUAUAUUAUAUUUUUUAUUUUUUAUUGUGUAACCAAAUAUGAAAAAAUUAUUUUUUAAAAUAUUUUUUUUUAGUAUUUUUAGGAACCAACAUAACCUAAUUAUUUAAAAUAAAAGAAAAUAUGCAUAAAAAUAGAAAAAUAAAAAUAAUUAUUAUUAGAGCAAUAAAAAGAGAGUAAUACGAGAUUUUCAAUAAUUGGCGCGCUCGCGCAGAAACCCAAGCCCUACGCCAACUCCCUUGGAGAAAUCGCCUGCAAAAUCCAUAGGGAUUUUCUUCAUAGGGUACGUUUUGACUGCUGAAAAGUUCCGGGUUUCUGUUUGUUUCCCGAGAAAGUGGGCAAAAAUGGUGUCUUUUUCUUCUUUUCUUUUUUCUGGUUUGUUGAGCAAGGUAGGGGGUUUUGUGUAUGGUUGUUCUGAAAGUGGGGGAAAGUAAGAGGAAUCGAAGUUUUUGUUUUCUUUCUUCCCCAUUUUAUGUUUUAUGUUUGUUUUGGUUGCUGAGAAGUGAAGAAUUUUGUGUUGGUUGCUGAUAAACCGGAGGAAAUGAGGAUUAAAUGAAGCUGUUCUAUUUUUUCUUUUUUCUUUUUUUAACUACUUUUAGUUUCAAUGUUUUCGGUUGUUUUGGUUGCUAAUCAUGUGUGUAUUUUCUGUUUGGUUGUCUAGAAAAGGCUGGAAAUGAAAAGAAAAUUUAGUCUCUUUAUUUCAUGUCUAGUGUUGUUUUGGUUGCUAAGACAAUUAAGGGAUUUUUGUUUUCUUGUUCUGGAAAUUGAGAAAAGGAAAAGGACCAAUGAAGUUUUGUUUUGUUAGUUUUAAGUUUCAGGUUUUCUAUUUCUGUUGGUUGAGAGAGUGAAUUUUUUUUUCCUUUUUCUGUUUAGUUUCCUAGAAAUGCAUGAAAAGAAGAGAAAAUGAAGUUUCUUUAUUUCAUGCCUUGUGAUUGGAGGAAAUGAGAAGUUUUCCCAGCAUGUUUUAUGUUAGCUUUUGGAGAUGAUCUCAAGGAGAUAAAAUGAAGCAACUGACUAUGAUAUGUUUUAUUCACUUUCAGGAUGGCAAAUACAGGGGAAGAUUUAUCUCAAUUUGAUAUUUCCCAAGAGGUGCACAAUGCUGUCUUAGUUCCUCUUAGUGAGUUCAAUCUCUUUAUAUUGCUGAGCUGAAUGAUCCUUUGUUUUUUUUGGUGCAUCCAGGAAAAGGACAAGCUUGUGGCAGAAGUAAUUCGCUAUGUCCUAUUUAAAACCCACCAAAAUUCAGGGUGCCCAAUCAAGAGAGAUGAACUUACUCAACUCGUUACUAAGAAUUAUCGCCAGCGUGCUCUCCCUGCUCUUGUAAUCAAUGCAGCCAGAGAGAAGCUAUCCACCAUUUUCGGCUAUGAAAUGAAGGAGCUUCAACGAUCUCGACCUUCAUCCACCAAUCAGGGUCGCACUUCACAACAGAGUUAGAAGCUUUUCCUCCCACUUAAUUUUUUAUGGUAACAAUUUUGUAGCUUCAACAUAGUUUUGUGGAUCGGAUGUAAGUUGAUUUGAUUCACAUUGUUAAUGCAUGCUUGAAGUUUGAAGUUGCUCCUAGAUUCAAUGGGUUUCAAUAAAUUGGGUUAAAUUUGAAACCUACUGUUAAGGAAUAUCCAAUCUCAUUUGCUAUUGAAUAGGUGAAAUCUAAAUACUGCAAGUUCUAACCUUCAAAAAAGAAUGGAUAGCUUCUUGUGAAUUGAGAUCCAUGAAUUACUAGUUCUGAUGCACGGUUUGGCAUGGAAAGCAAUCUAGGGAAUGGUUGGUUCCCUUGUGCCAAAUAAUGGGCCUGAGCUCAUAUAACAGGUUCUUUAGCAAUGUUACACAUAGGCUAAUUGCGCAUGCAUCAUAUAUUUAGUCAGUUUUCAGGAUAAAUCUAGUGAAAUAUAAAUGAAUUUAUGCAUCAUUAUCUAUUCGGGGCAGAUCUUUUUCAUGUUGAAUUUAGAACAAUCAAAUUGUACCAGAUCACUGACAUAUGAGUGUAUAAUUUGUAUGAUAUGUCCAUAAAAGUCCACCAACAUCAAGAUCAUGAUUCAUUUCAUUGCUGCAAUAAGUUGUUGCCAGUGCUGUUGUGGUUCCCCUGAACUGCGACUUCCACUACUGGUGUAUUCUCUUUCAUCCCAAGGCCAGUGCCACCUUAGUAAAUCUGUUCUACCCACAUCAUCUUUACAACAUCGCUGGUCAAUGUCAAUGUUACCACCUCGCAGCCAGCCUCUCUACCUCAAUCGUUGAUAACAAAUUUAAUUGUCGUCUCCACAUAGCACUCUUUCAUCUUCUGUUUCACCAUUUAAACUAGAUUUACCCUGGUAGCGGUUUGUAUGCAUGAAUAUGUAGGUGCAUUUAAAAAGUAGAAGAAAAUACACUAUGUUCGGAAGUUCUGCAUCCAGUAAACUAUUUUAAAAAGAUCUUUGAAGUGGCGCUGUUAGGAAAAUCAAUGCCUAAGUAUGUAGAACUAUGAAAAUUUGGCUUCAGUGGCAGGUGUACCUGCAUCCCUUCAUUUCCAAAGCCCUCUCAAUUUGUUCUUCUGAAGAAAAAAACCUGAUCUGAAUGCCCAUCUAUUUUUCCUGAUGAAAAUAUGCAUUGUUGAAUGAUAAACCUAUCAUUUUUUCUUUGCAUGAUUUUACAGAUAUAUUUAUCCCAUACAUUUUAAUGAGCAACCAAAAGGAUCAGGUUGUGUGUGUGGAUAUAUUAGGUUCCACCAUUGGUAAUGCUGGACAGGUGCCUGCCCCUUUUUGUGCUUGCUUCUUCUGUUUUGGCUCUAAUUAUGGUCUAAUGAUGCAUUUUUUCCAGGUUUUGCAGAUGUAAAAUCUUAUGUGAUCAUAAGUCAGCUACCUGCUGAUGUGUAUCGGAAAUAUGUUGAGGAUGUAAAUACAGCACAUCUGACUGGAUUUACCUUCGUCAUUGUUAGUAUUGUAUAUCUUGCUGGAGGGAAAAUUGCAGAAGGUAUACUUUCUAAUUGAUUUUUUUUUUAAUUUUUUUAUUUGAUAGGUAAAUAUGAUCAUAGUAUGCUUUCUAAUUGAAUUGUUCUGGAAUGCUGAUCUUUUGGAUGGUAUUUCUAUGUAAUAUGAAUGCCAAGAUAGAGAGCAAUAAUUUGGGUUGGAACCAUCCUUACUCCGUUCAGCCUGGAUGUGUAUGUGGUUGGAACCUGAAUCUGUUUGGAAAUCUGGGCCAUCAGCUCAGUGGGUGUUCCGCUUUUCUAUAAAUUCAUUAAGAAUGUGUAUAAAAAUUGAGCAGAUGGCUAGGAUUUAUUUUUCAACUUGAGAAUCCCAUAUGAAUUUUGAAGGUCAAAAUGUCGUUAUUAUAAUACCCUGCUUCUAGUUCUUUACCAACAUGACAGAACCUACUACCAUUGUGGUGAAAGCAUUGCAGAUGGUCUUUGGCAUCAUAUGAGGCGGAUGGGAUUGUAUGAAAAUGAAGAAAACCAUCCUGUCCUUGGAAACAUUAAGCAGGCGUUGGAAGCACUUGUCCAGCAAAGGUUAGACCAAUUUGAUAAGGUGGAUUUUAUAUUUAUUAUGAGUUCCUUCACUUGAUGGACCUUAGUUUGCUAAGCCCAUAAUUGAACUGAUCUGUAGGUAUUUGCAGAAGGACAAAGUGAAUGGUCCUGAGGGCAAUACUUUGUUUUACGAGCUUGCUGAAAGAGCUUUAGAUGAAGCCAUUAGCAAGAAGAUUAAAGAGUAUAUAUCACAGGUAUUAUUUGGAGAAUAAUAGGUUUGUUAAUGCUUUUGGUGGGUUUAUUUAUUUCAUGUUUAUGUUUCAAUUCUACUGGCAGACUGAAUUCCUUUGGGGAGUGUUAAACCCCAUCUUUUGUAAAGCUAUUCCCAUUGUCAUCAAUUUGGCAUUCUGAAGGAAUUUUGUGAUGGCAGAUUGUGCAGAAUGAUGGUGCCUCGGCAGAUGUUGAAUAGUGUCUUGCACCUAAUUUAUGCAGGUAUGCUUGAUAGUUUUAGUUUAUAGCUGAAUAGCUUUCACUCGAUGUACAAAUUCUAAUUAACAAAAAUGAGAUGUUUCUGAUGCAGAAAGAUGUGGUGGCUGAUAAAUAGUGAGGAGUUGGAUUGACGAGGACAUGCUCAACAGAAUGGAUAGAGCUGCAGCUGAGAUGCCCAAUUGCCCAUUUUUGCUUGAUGAGUCUUAAAACAUCUUUGUUUGGGAAUUUUGUGGAAUUGUAGUUAUUUUAUAUGCCCUAGUGGGACCCCUUAUGUUUACAUUUGCCCAAAAUUAAAUCAGAACCUUCAGAGUCUCAACUUGGUGCUAGUCAUAGCUCAACCAUUGCGACACUCCUUGUAGAAUCUUACAAAAGAUGAAAAGAAAAGAAUUCUGACGAGAAGAUAUACAUCAAAUAAAUGAAAAGAAAAGAAAAAGAGAAUAAAUUUCAGAGACAACAAACACUGAACCGCUAGAGAGAAUCCUUAUGGCAUCCCAGUGUAACUUUUAAGAACAUGGUUGCACGAUAUAUGCAGAAACAAGCUUCAGAUGAAUUGCUUUAGAAACUCUGUAGCUACAAGCCUCCCACGUGUGUUCACCGACAAUUUCAAUUCGCUUAUCUCUUUAUCGAUAUCCUGCAAUAUGGGAAGAUGCAGUUUGAGAAACUCAUCACAAAGAUACCAACAGUAUCAGAACAAAAAGAAACUGUUAACAAAUAACCAACAGGAAACAUUCUAGUUUGAUACUCAAAGAAUCCUAUUUUGUAUUGCAUGCUCUGCAAAAAGGAUCACCCAACAAUACUUGGAUCUCACCUUUGACAUCUGAACGGUAAAUCACAUCAGAUUUCAUCACAUCAAAUGGUGAAAGUCUGAGUCAAAAUGGGAAACGAAAAUCUAGGGAUUAAGUUUUCUGCGCAUGUUGGUAUUUGAAGAAUGAAAGAAGUGCAUGUUUUAAGGAAUGGUGCUUAAGAACCCAUGCUUCUGGCCCCAUGCCCGGAUUGCCUAUCAUUCUCCAAUUCUAAGUAAAAGAUUAGCAGUACUAAAAAUACUAGCAAAUAGAGAAAUAGUACUGGUCAGAGAGCAAGCAUGUGGCUAAUUAUCUUACGUUCCCGUGGGCCCUGUUUUCCACUGUCAUUGUGGUCUGGUUGCUCCUGAGCUCAGUAAAUGAGUCUAAGUAGAUAGCAUGGUAGCUUAAUGGAGUUGAGGAGAAAAGUGAGGGACACAUCCCCUUGGCCUUAGGUGCAUUUGGAAGGUAACAAAAAGGAGAAUUGUUGAGGGGGAGUCAUGGAGGAGCUACAGGUAUAAGUUUUAAAGGACCAGUUUCUCAAGCCUUUGUUACUCUGGUCCAAGGAUUCUCUUGGGGAUGGUGGUCUAUUUGUUUGUUCAUUUUAUUGAUUUUAUUGAUAGAUUAGGGUUGACAUAAGUUGAUUCUUAAUGUCCAUUUCAUUGUGGGGUGAUUGUUUGUUACUUUCUGAAUACUAGGGUUUGCUGCCCUUUAUGGUGCUUUAUUAUAUUAUAUAUUUGCUUAUAAAAUAGACACAUGUGAUUCUCGACUGUUUCGAGUGAAACCCACAAUCUUUUGAAAAUAAAAAUAGAAAGCAAACAUUCCCCAACCAAAAAUACUGGUUGUUUUGAUCAUCCUCUUAGGAAGGCAAACAAUGAAGGAAAAUCUGACAUAAACCCUACUAAUGUGAACCAUGACCAAACUUGUAACAACCCACUCUCAACCAUGUAAAUAUUGUCAGUGCUAGGCCCAAAGUGUCAUCAUAGUUUUAAAAUGUGUCUAAAAGGUUAAAAGAGUUCAUACAUAUACAACAUCGGAAACUUUUUCCCCUAUUCAAUGUAAGAUAUCAUAAUCACUAUCUCCCCAAUGUAAACACAACAUUCUCAUUGUAUCCCAUAGGAUUAUGGGACCAAACAAGCAGAUAAAGUUUCACAUUGGGAUCAGGGAUAGACUUUGAUACCAUUUAUAAUGACUCAUUCCCAACUGUAUAAAUAUUGUCUCCUUCAAGUCCGAAAGACCAAUAUGACUUUAAAUGAAUCUACAAGAUAAAAAGUUCAUAUAUAUAUAGUGUCAAAAACUUUUUCCCUUAUCUAAUGUGGGAUAUCACAAUUGGAUAUCAUUAGUUGAGGAUCAAAGAUGAGGAUAUACCAAUACUACUUUUCAAACAAGAUAUGAGCAUUAUGAGUUUUUGGUGAUACCUUUUGGUUUGACUAAUGCAAUUACUAUAUUUAUAGACUUAAUGAAUAAGGUAUUCAAACCCUAUUUGGAUUAGUUUAUGGUGAUUUUUAUAGAUGAUAGUUUGGUUUUACUCAGAGUUGAGAGGUACAAGAGUAUCGUUUGAGCAUUGUAUUGCAGACUAUAAGGGAUAGGUUGUAUGUUAAACUAAAGAAGUGUGAAUUUUGGUUAUGCAACAUCUCUUUCCUUUGGCAUGUGGUAACCAAGGAUGGCAUCUCAAUUAACCUUAAAAAGUAGAUGUUGUAGCCAAUUGGAGGAGACUCUGUACCAUGAUUAAGAUUCAAAUUUUUUUGGGACUUGUCGGUUACUACAAGCGGUUUAUUGAGGGGUUUUCUAAGAUCACCCUACCUUUGACCAAAUUGACACAGAAGGGGAUUAAGUUUGAGUAGUUUGAUAACUAUGAGCGUAGCUUCCAAUAGUUGAAAAGCAAAUUUGUGGCAAAUCUUGUUUUGACUAUUCCUUUAGGUUUAGGAGGAUUCGUAAUGUAUAGUGAUGCCUCCCACCAAGGUUAGGGAUUGAGUUCUUAUGCAGCAUGGGAAAGUUGUGACUUAUGCUUUUAGAAAGUUAAAAUCUUAUGAGUGAAACCACCACAUCAUGAUUUAGAGGUAGUUGUAGUGGUUUUUGCUCCUAAGAUUUGGAGACAUUUCCAUUUUGGUGAAACUUGUGAGAUAUUCAUGGAUCAUGAGAGUUUGAAGUGCUUGUUUUCCCAAAAGGAAUUAAACAUGAGACAGAAGAAAUUGAUAGAAUUACUUAAGGACUGCAUUAUUCAAUAUCAUCCAAGAAAGCGGAGUGUUGUGGUUGAUGCCUUGAGAAAGAAAUCAAUUGGCUUCUUAGCAACUAUAAGUGUUGGUUAGAAGCGAUUAUUAGGAUUUGAGGUGUUUAUAGGUCUAUAUCAGAGUUUUGGACUAAGGAGCUUAUGUGGCAAAUUUCAUAGUACAACUAGACUUAGUUGGGAGAGGGAGAAUUAAGACCCUACAAAAGAAUGACCCUCAAUUAGUGCAACUUAUGGAGACAAGGCCUUGAGAUUUGGGACAAAACUCUAUGUCCCAAAUGACGGAGACUUAAUGAGGGAGCUUUUAGAGGAAGCUCAUUGUUCUAGGCUUACGAUCCACCUUGGAGAGACGAAGAUGUACAAAGAUUUAAGACAUAAUUAUUAGUGGUCAAGCAUGAAACAAGAUAUUGCACAUUUUGUGGCUAAGUGUUUGGUGUGCCAAUAGGCGAAAGCUAAGCAUGAACAACCAACACAGUUUGUGCAACCACAUUCUAUUCCUAAAUGGAAGUAGGAACAUAUUACCAUGCAUUUUGUGACAAGGCUGCCCAAAACCUUAGGAGAUAAUGAUGCUAUUUGGGUAAUUGUUGAUCAAGUAACAAAGUUUGCUCAUUUUCUACCUAUGAAAGCCAAUUUCUCCAUGGACCGACCGGUUUCUCUUUAUGUCUAGGAGAUUGUGAGAAUGCAUGAGGUACCCAUUUCUAUGGUAUCCAAUAGGGAUCGUCAUUUUACUUUCAAAUUUUGGCAUAGUUUUUUUUUUAAAAAAAACUCUCAAUAUGAAGUUUUAGUACUACUUUCCAUCCUUGGAUCGAUGGCUGGUCAAAGAGAGUAAUUCAGGUUUUAGAAGAUUUGUUGAGAGCAUGUGUUUUGGACUUGAAAGGUAAUUGGGAUGAUUACUUACCUUUGGUAGAUUUGGCCUAUAAUAAUAGCUUUCAAACUAGUAUUGGGAUGACCCCUUCAAGGGGGAUGUACGGAAGGAGGUAUUGAUUAUUUGCUUAUUGGAUGAGGUUAGAGAGAGGAAAUUUUUUGGUACUAAACUUGUGUAGUUAAUUGUUGAAAAAUUUGCUUUAGUUAAAGAAAAAUUAAAACCAACUCAAAGUAGACAGAAGAGUUAUGUUGAUAAUCACGGGAUGAGAUGGAAUUUGAGAUUGAAGACCAAGUGUUCUUAAUAGUUUUGCCUAUGAAAUCUAUAAUGAGGUUUGGGAGGAAGGAAAAGCUUAGUCUUUAGUUUGUGGGAUUGUAUGAAAUAUUAGAAAGAGUAGGCACUUUGGCAUAUAAAGUGGUCCUACCCCCAAGCUUGUCUAAGACCCAUAAUGUAUUCCGUGUAUUAGCUUUGAGGAAAUAUGUUUUUAAUCCCUCUCAUGUUAUAGAGUUAGAGCCUAUUCAAAUUUCAAAGGAUUUGACUUAUGAAGAAGUAUCCAUUCAUAUGGUAGAUAGUAUACGGUACUAUGUCAUACUAUUAUCAAGUUGGUAAAGGUCUAGUGGAUCAAUCAUAAGUAUUCAAGAGACUACGUGGGAAUUAGAGGAAGAGGUGAGAAGCAUUCACAUCUAUUUUGAGUUUUUGGUAUGUCAAGUUUAGAAAACUAAAUUUUUGUUAAGGAUGAGAGGAUGUAAUGCCCAAACUUGAUUUUAGGUGUAAAAUGGUCAUUUUAAAAAUAAAGAAAUUAAUUAAUAACAUUAAAAGGGUAGAAAGGUCUUUUCCUAAUAAUAAAAAACCCUAGGUGUAAAUAAUAAGUUUUCUUUACUUCUCUAUAUAGACAUCAUUCUGCAUAAAGACCAAAGAGAUAAGAGAAUAUAUAGCUAAAGAUUUGAGAGCCUAGAGUUCGAAGAUCAGUUUUUCAAGUAAUAUUCUAACCCUUUGAUGAGUAUUUUCGAUUCAUUAAAUGGAUUUGAGCAACUUAAAUGUUCUUUUAAAAAUCCAAAUUUAGAUUAGGCCUAAAAUAUAUUUAAAUUAAAUCAUUUGAAAUAUAUGGACAUAGAUUGGAUUUUUCUUGGAGAUAGGGAAUUCCAACCAUUAUAUAUAUAUAUCAUGGUUGAAGUGAUGAAAGUUUCAAAGUGGACUGGAACCACUGUGAGGAAGAAAAAAAACAUUGUGUGAUGAUUGUAGGAAAAGAAAAUAAAUAAAAGAAAAAAAAAUGAUUGUGUGGUUUUGCGUGUGAUGAUGGUAGAUGGCAGGAAAAACAGGAAAAAACAAACAAACAAACAAACAAAAAAGAAAGAAAGGAGUGUGUGCAUGUGAUCACUGUAGGCAUUGGAUUGGAGAAAAAAAAAAGGGGAAAGAGAAGAAGGAAUGGAGUGCAUGAAUAGGAAAGUGAAAAAAAAUAUAUGCAUUAAAAAUGGAAGGAGGCAUAUGACAGCUGGUAAGAUGUGAAGUGCAGUGCAUGGCUGUGAUAGUGAAAAUUUGUCAGCAUACAAAGCCUAACAAAUUUGCAGGAUUUCUUGGAAUAUGCCUGAAUCUUUUGACAAGAAAACUGAGUAUAAGCAAAAAUAAAAUUUUGAAUCCAAACUUUAGUUUCUUCAAAAUUCAAAUUUUAUUUUUUCAUUAAUGGUCCAUUUGAUGAAGUUGAGACCACAAUGGACAAAUCUACACCAAUAAUUCUUUGUUCAUUUGUGGAGAAAAUUGACGAAAAGAAAGGAAAAAAAUCUCUCAGUCGUGUUUCAAAAAAGGAAGAAGAAAGAGAGACACAUACAAAGAAAUAAAAUUCAUCUCAACCAAGUGGCAGAUCAGCCACAAUGAUGACUUCUAGCAGCUGCAGACCUGUGGCAGAGGUGAUAACUAGUAGCCUCUACCAGUGACAUGGUGAUUUGAAGUAGGAUUAGUGAAGCAAAGGAUGGAAUGAGGGAUUCAGGAAAAUCUGUUAUUUGUGAGUGGAUAUUUAUUUAUUUUUGAUAGAUAAACAACAAUAUAUAUUAAAAAAGGGCCAAAAAGCCACAAGUAUAUAGGGGUAUACACAGAAGCCCAAAACAAGAAACUGAAAGAAGAAAGGGGAGUAACCUCGCCCACCCUCAAGUGGCCGCGAGCCACUCCAAAAAGCCUAAGAGAGAAUAGGUUUCCUCUCCAAUGUACACCCUAGCCCAACUCCACAAGUUACAUACAAAAGAAUUUUUGAAUUUCUGAAUAGCUAACGACCCCCCCCCCCCC